RNAcentral lists this long non-coding RNA (44355 nucleotides) under Gossypium barbadense (sea-island cotton). Its description in RNAcentral is "long non-coding RNA (GBAR_LNC015820)". Lineage: Eukaryota; Viridiplantae; Streptophyta; Magnoliopsida; Malvales; Malvaceae. The record is from RNAcentral.
UGACCGUCCAUCCAUAACGAAUACUAUUGAAAUCCUUGGUUCCAAGGCCCCACUGCCCAGUUUACCACGCGAGAUGCCGGUUCCAAUAUACAUUGCAGCUCUGCAAGACAACAUCUUUACAUCUUCAGCAUCCACUUCAUCUUAUACCAGUGCCUCCAACAGAAGCCAAACUCAAAGUUCAGGCACUGGGUCAAGUAUCCAUUCCUUUAAGGAUAAAACAAUGGCUCCAGGUUAUGACACGGAAGCCAAGCAUUGAAUUCUUGGCAGUUGGUAGUUCGAACCUUCUUUUGUUGUAUAUUUGGCUUCUUGUUUUCGAGUUUUGAUGCUUUGGUGAAAAUUUUGUUCUCACCUUAAUAUUAGUAGGUCAUAUCAUGUCUAUCUAUCUAUCUAUAUAUAUAUAUAUAUAUAUAUAUAUGAUAUUUAUGCUCAUGAUUGAGUUGAUACAUCAAUUUAAUUAGAUAAAAGACAAAUUAAAUAUAUUCAUAAAAAAAUUAUAUAUUAAUAAGGUUAUAAAAAUAAAUUAAUUUAAAAGGAAAAAAAACCACCAACAAAUAUUCUAUAUGAAUAUUUAUUUUUAUUUUAUAGGGUGCGAUAUAAAAGAAUUAUCACUAAGGUAGUGAGUGUGUGAAGAAAUCUAGUAUUAAACUAUAUGGAUUGAUACAUGAAUAUAAUAAUUAAAAUUUUAACCCCUGCAAAAUUUCAAACAUAACCAACCCAAUGCCAGUAUUUCAACCAAAGCAUUUAUAUACUUAAAUCUUGCUUGACAUACUGACAUAACAACUUAAUUAAUAAAAAUCCUAUUAUCAUUUCUAAUUAACACAUAAAACUAAUCAAGCCAUUUCAAUUUGAUACCAAUGCCAUAAAGGACUUCUACCAUUUUACUAACAUAAUCAUCAAAACACAUAAUAUCUUACUUUACAACAAAACUAUAUAGCAUACCAAAAUAACUAUUAUAAUUCUUAUGUACAUGCCACUUUCUCUUAAAAGAAGAAAACAUACCAAAAUAUUUAUGUCGGAGUUGGGAUUGUCCUGGAUACUGAACCGAGACUCUGACCCUUUUCAACCUGCGCACGGAAACAACCGUACGCUGAGUAUUUUAUACUCAGUGGUAUUACCAUAAUUCAAAUUAUAAUAGCAAUAAAGAAUUAUAAUUACCAAGCAUGUAACUAUACAAUUUCUUAAAUAUCAAUUAAUUUAUAAACUUUCAUUAACUAACAAUAACAAUACAAUUUUUAGCUAUUCUUCAAUUUCAAUCAUAUAUCACAUGUAAUAAUUUCAAUCGCUACAUAAACAUUAAAUUCAUGUCUUUCAUUUUCAAUCUCAAAUUUCAAUCCACAAUUUUAAAUUUUCUUAUUUCAAUUAUUCACAAUCGAUCAAAUUCAUUUAAAUUUCUCAUUUUAAUUAUUCACCCUAUUAACAAUCUGGACUUUGACGGAUACACGGAUUCCAACCCAAACACACCAGUACGACACAUUGUGCCUAAAACGGUACAUAGUACCUGAUCAGUAUACGACACAUAAGUGCCUGAAACGACCACGAGGUGCCUGAUACGACACACGAGGUGCCUGAUAUACGACACAUAAAGUGCCUGAGAUACGACACAUAAAGUGCCUGAUCGGCAAGGCCGAUAAAUCCCGUACUCAUCCAAAUCCUAUGGCAUGCCAACUAUAUCCGACCUAGCCUGACUAGUUAAUAGGGUAUAUAAAUUUCACAAUCUAAUUUUCACUUUUAUUUCAAGAAUUCAUUUUCAAUAUCAAUUAUACUUUUUUUUUCCAUUCACUAAUUAAAACACAGUUCAAUACCAACACAUACUUCUCUCAUUCAAUUUAACUUUUUUUUUUCAAAUUCAAUUCAAUAAAGUCACUUACCUUAUUAUAUGCUUACCAUACACAUAAUUUAAAUUUAACAUCAAAUAAUAAAUAAUUUGAAUUAUAGUAAUACAAACCCGAAUUUUGCUCGAUUAUUCCUCAAUAACCUUCUCCUUUCCUUUGUGUGCCGAUGCCUCGAGUUCUUUGUUAGCUACGAAAAUAAUAAUAAUUUAUACCAUCGAUUACAACAUUAAUUUAUAAUAAUAAUAAUAAUAAUAGAAUUUCUAUCUAAUUUAUACUUUAAUUCCAAUUUAAUCCUAACUAAAUUUAUUUACUUUUCUAAUUUAAUUUACACUCUAUUUCUAUUCAAAUUUCUUCAAAACUCAAAUUUAACUACCAAAUUUUCAGCAUAUUUCAUUAAUUUCAAAUUUUCCUCAAUUUAAUUCCUACAAACAUAAAACUUAUGACUUACUUCACAAUUUAAUCCUUUUAUCAACUCUAACUAGAAAUUCUAUCAAAUAAAACCUCAAUUUCAUCAUUUAUUCAACAUAAACCCUACUCAAAAAUCUAUUAACUUUCAAAUUUUCAACUUAAAUCCAAGAGUAUUUCACUCUAGGGUUCUAAAAAACAUCAAAUUUAUGAGAAAAGGACUUGAUUUAGCUUACCUAUUAAACUUCAAGCUUCAAAAUCUCAAUUUUCCCCCUUUCUUUUCUUUCCCUUUUUCUUCCCCUGUUUUCGUCUCUUUCUCUGUUUCUUUUCUGUUCUUCCUUUGUUUCUUUUUUCUUUUUGUCUUACUUACCGACUCUAUUUCUUUUAUGCAUUAGUUAAUAAUAAUAAUAAUAAUAAUAAUAAUAAUAUAUUAUAAUAAUCAUAUAAUAAUAUUUUAUUCACAAAUAUCUUUUACUUAAACUAUAAGAAAAUAUUUUAUUUUAUUACAAGUUAUUUUUAUAUAUAUUACACAUGUAUUAUUUAUCAUCACACAUUUGUCUUUAUCUUUUUUGUUUCCUAUAAUAUAUUAUUUUAAUUUUAAUUAAUAUAAUUUAUAAUAUUUUAAUUUAAUAAUAUUUUUAUAAUAUAAAUCAAGAAAAAAUCUAAGAUUUUUCCAUGUAUUGCCGCCUAAUCUUAAGCCAUUGGCUUAUUUACCUAUUUAGUCCUUCUUAUUUUAUUUUGAUCUAUAAUUAAACUUUCACUUCUAUUAUAAUUUAAUUCUUUUUACUAAUUACUCUUAAUUAAGCUAAAUUCACCUAUCUAAAACCUAAUUAAACACACAACUAGUUUAAUAAAUAUUUCUAAUAAUUAUUUUCGAACUCAAUUUACUAAGACGGAGGCCCGAUAUUAUACUUUUCCGAUGCCUGUAAAUUUUUGGGUCAUUACAGGUAAUUAACGAAAUCACUUCAAUGAAUGCACCAAUCCCCUUUCUUCUUUUUCUGAGAGUGUGUUCAAUGUUAAACUUGAUAAUACCAAUGAAGACAUUGGUUGGAUUCCUUACCUAACACGUCCAUUCACUUGUAAAAGUAAAAGUCUUGGUUAGUAUUUUGUUCUUUUCAUUGGAUAUGAAGAUUACUAUUUUGUUCUUGUUCUUAUGGUUUUCCAAGUGUAAAGUAAGGAUUGUUUUGGUUCUUAAUAAAAGUUGAAUUUUCUUAACAAAAUGAACAAAUAUAUAAAAUAUUAUCAAAAAAAGUCAUUUCGAGAAGUUCUUAAGAGAACCAUUGACUUGUAAUUAAUCCAAAGAUUCCAAGUCUUGCAUUGAUGGCUGGAUUAAAAUAAAUUCCACCCAAAAAAAUAAGCAACAAGGCCAAAUUAGUUUAUAACUUGUAAUUGGGGGUAGGUUGGCACCUUCUUUUAUUGAAUAAAUAUCAAAAUUGUAUUUGAAAUUUAAUUUAAUGAAUAAUAUCAUAUAUAUAAAUUUUAAUUUUAUGUUAUUAUAUAUGAAUCUUUUAUUUGAUUCAAUUUUCACAAAUUAUUAACAAUAUUAUCGAAUUAGUAUAAUUUACGUUGUUAUAUUAUAUACAUAGUAUGAGAAUAAAUGCAUGUAAUUUAAACAUGUACAACUGAAUCAAAAUUAAAAUUUUAUAUAUAAUUACAUCAGUUUAAAUUUUAUCAUCAAAUUUCAUAUAUAAAUUGAUAAAUAUUUUUUAAAAUAAUAUAAAUUUUUUUAAAUUUCAUAUAUAAGUUUUUUUUUUUUUGUCCAAGUUCCCACCACAAGUAGGAGAUUCAAUACGAUGCUUUGAAGGUCCAAUGUAGGGCAAGAAUGGCAAACUUUAUUUUAGUGAGGAAUGAAUUAUUUUAUUCCAGGAAAUGAAUUACAUUGUGUUGCAGCAACUUUCCUCAAAAUCCUUACUCCGAAAAUGAAGAAAGCUCAAAAAGCUGAGAAUAUGUAUCUCAAAUCACGUAAACCUGAAUUUCUCUUCAUACUAUUAUUCUUAUACACCCUUCCUAUGGGGUUACUUGUUCCUUUUACCAUGGCUGCAGCAAUUGAUGAUGGUAACAUCCAUUUCAAUUUGACUGAUUUCACCCCAGAUAUGCCUCACAUAGAGUUUGAAAAUGAUACAACCGCAUCAGGUGGCCAAAUCCAACUCACCACCAACCAGAUAAACAAGAAUUUAAACGAUAGUGUUGGUCGAGCCACUUAUUACCAACCAAUGCACCUUUGGGACAAUUCAUCAGGGAAUCCCAGACUUGCAGAUUUCACCACUCAUUUUUCUUUCUCCAUCAAUUCCUUGAAGAAGCCCUCCGGAGAUAGGGGUGAUGGGUUUGCGUUUUUCCUUGCUCCCGAUGGCUCAAAAAUCCCUCCUUACUCCGGAGGUGGUUGCUUGGGACUUCAAAGUUGCGAUAUAGACGCCAACUCUAAAUUUGUUGCAGUGGAAUUUGAUACGUUUCCCAAUGUAUGGGAUGAUCUGAGGUCAGAUCACGUGGCCAUUGAUCUCAACUCUGUAAAAGCUUCAUUCCACCCUGUCGAAUGGCUGUGGAGUGAUAUUGAAAAUGGGAGUAAAGUUGAUGCUUUCAUCACUUACAACUCUAGUACAAAAAACCUGAGUGUCUUUUUACUCGGUGCUGAGGACUUUAAUCGUCUAAAUUCAUCUGCUCUUUCUGCAAUAUUGGAUCUUAGUCAAUAUUUACCAGAAUGGGUCACUUUUGGCUUCUCCGGAGCCACUGGAUCUAGCAUUGAGCUACACACUAUUUAUUCCUGGAGUUUCAGCUCCAACUUACAAGUUUCCACGAAUAAAACCAUCAAUCCUCCAAAUGUGGCGCCAGGCCCUCCAAUCAACCCCAAAAGGAAGAGCAAGACAUGGCUAUGGGUAGUUCUAGCCAUUGCUGGUGGCAUUUCUGCAUUGCUCCCAGUUCUGAGUCUGGUUUGGCUUUUCUGUAGGAGGAGAAAGUACAGAAGGAUGAGGGAAGAUGGGACCAUGUCUGUCAACGUAGACGUGGAAAUGAUGACAGCACCUAGGAAGUUUUCCUACAGGGAACUCAGGCUUGCAACCAAUAAUUUUGCCGAUGAAGGUCUCCUUGGAGAGGGAGGUUUUGGAAAAGUUUAUUUAGGCUUCUUGAGGGACAUCAAUUCCAAUAUUGCUGUCAAAAGGAUAACUCCAAAUUCUCAACAAGGGGUGAAAGAGUACGAAUCCGAAAUUACCACUAUUAUCAAAUUGAGGCACAGGAAUUUGGUCCAACUCAUCGGUUGGUGCCAUGACAAUAAGGAGUUCCUCAUUGUGUAUGAGUUCCUUCCAAAUAGGAGUCUCGAUUACCAUCUACAUAGAGAGCCAUGCUUGUUGACAUGGGAUACAAGGUAUAAAAUCGCCAUGGGAGUGGCCUCAGGGUUGUUUUAUCUGCAAGAAGAAUGUGAUCGAUGCGUGCUGCAUCGAGACAUCAAGUCAAGUAAUGUUCUGCUAGAUUUUAGUUUCAAUGCCAAGCUUGGUGACUUUGGGCUGGCUAGGCUUGUUGACCACGGACAAGGGUCUCAAACAACAAAAUUGAUCCUUGGAACUGAUGGUUAUAUAGCACCCGAGUGUCUUGAGACAUACAAAGCCAUUAAGGAAUCCGACAUAUACAGCUUUGGUAUUGUUGCCUUAGAAAUAGCCUCCGGAAAGAAGGCCGUAGAUGUAAUUGAAAGGAAUGGCAAGAGAUUCAAGACAAAACUGGUGGAAUGGGUUUGGGAAUUGUAUAGGGAAGAGCGUCUUUUGGACGCUGCUGACCCAAGAUUGUCUGGAAACUACGACACGGAACGAAUGGAACGGUUGCUGUUAGUUGGGAUGGCUUGUGCUCACCCAAACUAUUUUGACCGUCCAUCCAUAACGAAUGCUAUGGAAAUCCUUGGUUCCAAGGCCCCACUGCCCAGUUUACCACGCGAGAUGCCGGUUCCAAUAUACAUUGCAGCUCUGCAAGACAACAUCUUUACAUCUUCAGCAUCCACUUCAUCCUAUACCAGUGCCUCCAACAGAAGCCAAACUCAAAGUUCAGGCACUGGGUCAAGUAUCCAUUCCUUUAAGGAUAAAACAAUGGCUCCAGGUUAUGACACGGAAGCCAAGCAGUGAAUUCUUGGCAGUUGGUAGUUCGAACCUUCUUUUGUUGUAUAUUUGGCUUCUUGUUUUCUAGUUUUGAUGCUUUGGUGAAAAUUUUGUUCUCACCUUAAUAUUAGUAGGUCAUAUCAUGUCUGUCUAUAUAUAUAUAUAUAUAUAUAUGAUAUUUAUGCUCACGAUUGAGUUGAUACAUCAAUUUAAUCAAGUAAAAGACAAAUUAAAUAUAUUCAUAAAAAAUUAUAUAUUAAUAAGGUUAUAAAAAUAAAUUAAUUUAAAAGGAAAAAAAACCACCAACAAAUAUUCUAUAUGAAUAUUUAUUUUUAUUUUAUAGGGUGAGAUAUAAAAGAAUUAUCACUAAGGUAGUGAGUGUGUGAAGAAAUCUAGUAUUAAACUAUAUGGAUUGAUACAUGAAUAUAAUAAUUAAAAUUUUAACAAUUUUAAUUGUAUUUUAGAUAUUUUUAUUUCGGAUAAUCUCUUAAUAGGUUCUAAUGGAAUUAAUAGAUAUAGAAGUGCAUGUUUGAGUGGCGUUUAUUGACUCGAGUUAGUGAUCCUAACUUUUGGUCCAACCUUUGUUAUUUGCGUCUCUUGCUUUAUUGUUAAUCUUACAAAGCUUUCUGAUUAAUUUUAGUUUUAUACAUUAUGAAUUGGUUCAAUUUAAUUCCUUUAAUUUGAAGUUUUAAAAUUGUAAUCUUGGUAUUUGUAUUUUAAUUUGGUUAAUUUUAAUUCUUAUACUUUUCGAAUUGGUUAAAUUUAAUUCUUGUAAUUGGAAGUUUUAAAAUUGUAGUCUUAAUAUUUUAAUUUAGUCAAUUUUAGUUUUUAUACUUUUUGAAUUAGUUAAAUUUAAACCUAAACAAUAGCAAUUAAAUCUAUUUUGUUAAAUUCUAAUAUUAGUCCCAUAUAGUAUACAUAAAGUUGUAGACUUAUUCCGCGUUCUCUAAAUUCAUCAUUUUUAAUCUUUAUGCUUUUUGAAUUUUAAAUUUUAAAUAUUAAUGCUAACUGCGAUUAUUAAAUCUAUUAAUUGGAUUUUUUUGGAUUCAUCAUUCCAACUUGCUAAUUUGAACAGUACAUCAAAGGAGGGCCUAUUGUUGGAUUUGUAGAUUUGAGCCCCUGAAAUGUUUGUGUGUAUGCAUGGCUAAGUAAAAUUUUUGAAAUUUCUUUUACGAAUUCUGAUAGCAGUAAUUAACUCGAUGAUGGGUGUCGAUUCCACCAAUAUAAUCCUACGCCUAAUGUAACACCCCUUACCCGAGACCAUUGUCGGAGUUGAGCACGAGGCAUUACUUAGCUUAUCUUACUAAUUCGGAGUAUAAAAACUUGUUUUGAAAAUUAAUUUCACUAUUUACUGCAAAUCUGUCCAAUCGUGUAACAGUUACUAAAUUAAUUAUAACUCGAGUUGCGGGACUCAAAAUUUAAUUCCGCAAAUUUUCCCUGAAACUAGACUCAUAUAUCUUCCUACUAUAAAAUUUUUAGAAUUUUUGCUUUAGUCAAUUAGUACAGUUUAUUAGUUAAAGACUCCCCCUGUUUCACCACUUGACUGUCCUGACCUCUUGCCACUAAAAAUAAAUUUUCUCAUUGUAGGAUUUUCAUAUGAAGUUAUUACUUGUUUCUAUAGAAAAUAGACUCAAUAAGUAAUCUAAGAAUGUAAAAUACAACUCAUAAAUAUUUUUUUACAAUUUUUAAUGAUUUCCUAAACUCAAAACAGGGGACACCAAAAACUGUUCUGACCAUGUGUCACGAAAAUUCAAAUAUCUUAAAAUAUAAAACUCCUUUUGUUAAACCGUUAUUUUUCCAUGAAAAUAGACACAACAAGCUUUAAUUCCAUAUAUCAUUCACCUUCUAACUCAUUAUAUACUAUCCUAGGUGAUUUUUAAAGUCACAUCACUGUAGCUGCUUGAAAUCUGUUUCUUUGCAAAAUUUUACUCUUUCAUGAUUUCCAUGCAUGAUUUAUCAUCUAAAUAUACAUAUUACCAAACAUUAUCACAUACUCACACAUCUUCCUUUAGCAAUAUCAUAGAUAAAAACAUUCAAAAUGACUAAUCCCUAUACAUCACUUAGGUAUAAACAUUACUUAGGUACAUGCCACGUUAUCAAAAGAAAGGUACAUCGCUAAAUUCUCUGAGGUUGGGACUACUCUGGAUGCUGGACCGAACACUGGAUUUCUACUAACUUGCGCACGGAAACAACCGUACACUGAGCAUGGGAAUACUCAGUGGUAUUACCAUAAUUCAAAUUUAUAACAUUAAUGGAUAAAUUAUAUACAUUUAAUUUAUGUCUACAAUUAUUCAUUAAUUAUCCCAUACUUUAAAUCAACUUGACCAUUAAUAACAAUAAGCAAUAUUUCAGUCUGGUAUUCAUACCUUAUUUCACUAUCUAAAUUUUAUUGGAUUUUUCACAUCUCAUUCCAAUAAUUUAUUUCAAUUCAUAUGAAAUUCAUUUUAUUUAUCACUAUAUUUAGUAUCAAUUCUAUUGCAAUUUUUACUCACUAAUAUCAUAUAACAAAAAUUUACUCUUAAUCAAAUCAUGAGCUUUGGGUUCAUAUCUUCAAAUCUCUUAUCUCGAUUUCCAAUUCACCUAUCAAUUCACAAUUUCACUUUCUCAUUUCUUUCCAUACCUCAAUCAAUCACACUUAUUCAAUUUUUUUUUCAUUCCAAUUAUUUACCCUAUUAACAAGACUCGGACUUUGGCGGAUACACGGAUCCAACCAAACACACCAGAAUGGCACCCAGUGCCUCAUCGGAUAGUUCGAAGCAAUAAAGUGACACCCAGUGUCUCAUCGGCAGAGCCGAAGAAAGUUGGUACCCAGUACCUCAUCGAAUCUAUCCGAAGUAACAGUAUGACACCCAGUGUCUCAUCGACUCAAGGUCAAAAUAUCCCUGAACACUUCCAAUCCUAUGGCAUGCCAACUAUAUCCGACUCAGCCCGACUAGUUAAUAGGGUAUUCAAAUCAUUUUUCUAUUUCAAAAUCACUUUCGAUUCAAUCACAAUUUAAUUCAGAUUCACUUCCCACUUUCUAAUCAAUAUACAAUUCAAUACCAAUACAUAUUUCAGAUAUUCACGUACAAUCAUACUUCAAUUCAAUUCAAACCACUUUUCUAUCUAUACUCAAUUCACAUAUUCACACAUAAUCAUAAUUUAAUUCACUUUUAUUCAAUUCAUAUUUUUAAUUCAUUUAAUUCAAUAUCGAUAUUCACCUUAUUUUUAUUUACUAAACAUAUUAUUCAAAAUUCAACAAUUACUAUCAAUAAAUUCAAUACCAAUACGUGUGUGUAUAUAUCUAUAUAUUUCAUUCAAUUCAAUCAUGAUACUCACCUUAAAUUUGCUUAUAAUGUAUAUUAAUUUAAAUUUCAACAAUGAAUAAUUAAAUUCGAAUUAUGGUAAUACUAACCGAAAUUUUCUCGAAUCACUCCUUGUCCACCUUCUCCUUUCCUUUCUCGUACAAUGACUCUUGCACGACAUUAGCUACGUAAUUAAACAAUUAAAAAUCAUUAAUACACAAUUUCAUCAAAAUAUUUCCAUUUAUACCUAAACUCUAAUUUAAUCCCUUAUCAAUACUAAUUUUAUUUUUCCUAAUCUAACUCCAUAUUCUCUCUUAAUUCUCACUAUAAACUCAUUUUAACUCUUCAAUUUCACCAUAAAUCCCUAAUUUCGAAAUUCUCUCAAUUUAGUCCCUACUAUUCAAAACUUACACUUUAUUUUACAAUUAAAUCAUUUACUAACUUCUAACUUGAAAUUAAAUCAAUUUAACCCCUAACACUUCAAUUUAUUCAACAUGAACAUCAUCUAAUAAUCUACUAACUUUCAAAAUAUCAACAUAAAUCAAGUAGUAUUUAUCUCUAGGAUUCCAAAAACAUCAAAACUAAGAGAAAAGGGAUUAAAUUGACUUACCAAAUGAGCUUAGAACCUCAAAACCUCAAUUUUCUCUUUUCUUUCUUUCUUUUCUUUCUUUCCUUCUUUCCUUCUCUGUUUCGUCCAUGCUAUUCUGUUUCUAUUCUCUUUUCUAUCUUUUAUUUCAUUAGUUUAAUAUAAUAACAAUAAAAUAAUAAUAUAAAAUUAUUUACUUAAAUAAUAAGUAAAUGUGUAAUAAUUACUAAUAUAUGUAUUUUAUUUUUCCACAUGUCAUCAUAUACACCAUACAUUUGUCAACAAUUUUGUUUAUUUAAAAUAUAAUAAUAUAAUAAUAUAAUAAUAUAAUAUAAUUUACAAUAUAAUAAAAUAAUAAUAUACUUCAAAAAAAAUCUCAGAUUUUAUCAUGCAUAUGCCGCCUCAUUUAUGGGACUUGGCAUAUUUACCUAUUUAGUCAUUUUAACUUUUCUUUAAUCUAUAAUUCAACUUUUACCUUUGUUGCAAUUUAGUCCUUUUUAAUCAAUUAACCAUCGGAACAUUAAAAUUUCUUAACGAAACUUUAAUACUACCCUAAUGACACUCCGUAAAUAUUUAUAAAAAUAUUUACGGCUCAGUUUAUAAUAUCGAGGUCUCGAUACCUCGUUUUCGACCCAAUUUUCCUAAUAAUUUCUUUUAAAUCACAAAAUUCGCUAAUUCAAAAAUAUUUCUAAAAUCACGCUGAACUUAUAAUUAUUAAUUAAUAAAUUUUUCUAACGUUUUCAUCAGAUUUAGUGAUCUCAAAUCACUAUUCUGACACUACUGAAAAUUGGGCUGUUACACCUAAUUUGUAAACUUGAGCAGUAUAAGGAGUAGGGUCGAUCCCUCAGAGACUGGGUUCACGUAAAAUUGUUGCUCUUUCUCGACCAGAUUCGUGUCUGGGCAGUUGUCGUGCCCAAGAAAUUUGGGGGGAGGAUAAAAAUUGAAACUUGAAAUAAACAGAAAAAAAUACGUAAAAAGUAAAAGCUGAAAACAAAUAAUAAAAACAGUUAAAUAAAUCUGAAGAAAGAUUAAUUAAACUUAGCUCAGCUUCAGGCACGGGUUUUUCCUCGUCUUUGAAUCGAUCCUCGAAAUUAGAUGAACUCCUCUUUUCCAAUAAGCUAGUUAUAGAUACCAAGGACGCCUCGGACACCAACUCUUCCUUGUGUAAAUUAGUUAUGAAACGUCCUAUAACUAAACCUUACCGAUCGAACAACCAACGAAACGUUCGUGGUUUAGAACUCCGGCAGCUUUGCGUUCUAGAAGAGCCUAGCUCGAACCAAUAUCCUCAACCGCUUGAGACAUUUAAAUCCGGUUACUACUUCCCUUGACAGAGCCAAACAGCAAUCCCCACUUGGCACGCCAAUGUUUUCACGAAAAACCGAUUAGACAAUCAAUCCUUUCGGAAUCCCAACUGUAUGUCUAACCACACUAACUCAAACGACAUCUUUUUUUGACUUAGUGUCGAUUUGACUUUGUGAGUUGAUGAAGUCAUACUCUUAAUCCGAAGAAGUAAUAAAAAUUGAAAAUUAGGAAUUGAAUUGCUCGGGUUCGUAACUCAUGGAUCUUGAAGAAGCUAACAUCGACCUGAAGCUGAAAUGGGUUUAGUUAACUAAGGUUUGGGGCAUAUUGGAGUUGGUCAUAUCUUGAAUAGGUUGGAUGGAAAAAAAUGUUGAUGUUGUCACCAUUUUUUGGAUGAAAAACGGGGUCAAUUUGGAUUUUGGAAAUAAAAACAAAAAUAGGGAGUCGCCACCAAUCCUUUUUUAUGAGGUGUGAUUAGAUCACCUUGAAAAGUGGUUGUUUUUAAUAAACGGUUUGAUUUUAUUAAAACAAUAGGUUUGGUCCACGAAAUUCAGAAAAACGGGUUCGGGAGUCGGUUACGCACGAGGAAGGAUUAGCACCCUCGAUACGCCCAAAAUUGGUACCUUAGUUGAUUACUUAAUGUCUUAAUGUCGAAAAGCUGAAAACUUUAAAGAAAUUUAAAAAAAAUACGAUCCUUGUAUUAAAAAGUUGAAAAUUUUGGAAAAAGUGGCAUAUUUCACGUUAAUCGAGAAAAGACAUCAUAUCCAGUAAGUUAGGAUACAACGUCUCGAAUUCUCGAUACUGGAGUGAAUGCUAAAAUGUUACCCCUUUUCAAAAAAGUUUUAUUAUCUCGGGUUUAGAAAAUAAAUCUUGCCCAGUAAGUUAGGGCACGAUCUUUUCUUAACUUCCGAGAUCAUUUUAAAAAAAACUUCGAAUUUGAAAAGAUUCGUGUAUUUAGAUUUAUUGAGAAAGUCGAAACCCAGUAAGUUAGGGCACUAUUUUCAAAUAUCUAAACACGAGAUUUAAUUUAUUUGAAAUGGAUUUUGAUAUAUUGGGCAAAAUGAAACACGAUGCUAAUAUGUAUUGCGAUAUAUAUAAAAAAAAUAUGUAUGUGAAUUAUAAAAUAUAGAAAAUAUGUAAGAAAAAUAUAGAUUUUAAAAUAUAAAUAAUAUGUAUAAGUAUGUGUAUAUAUAUAAAAACACGUACAUACACAUGUAUAUAUAUUAUAAAAGUAUAAAUAUGUACAUAUAUAAAAUAAAAAAUGGGUAUGUGCAUACAUAUAUAUUACAUAAAAUAAAUGAUAUAAGUAUGUAUAUUGUAAAAUAAAACAGUGUAAGUAUGUACAUAUAUAUGUAAAAAAGAGACAUAUAUACAUAUAUUUUAUAAAAAUGAAUGAUGGAUAUAGACGUAUAUGUAUGUAUGUAUAACAAAACAUAUGUAUGUAUAUAAGCUAAAAACGUGUCUAUAAAGAGAUAUAUAGAUAUAUAUAAUAAGAUAUAAAUAUAUAAUAAGAUGAUAUAUAUAACUAGUUAUAAUAAUAAUAAUAAUAAUAAUAAUAGGACAAAUAUAUUCAAAAUUUAAAUAAGUAAAUAUAAAUAAAAUAUAACAAUAACAAUGUAAAACUAAAUGGUAUAAUAAUGGUGACGUAAAUAUACAUAUAUAUAAUGGCAAAAUAUAAUAAUAAUAGCUAGAUUAGUUAAUAAAACAACAAAAAUAACGAAAUGGGUCAAUUUGUGAUAAAAAUAAAAUUUAAAGGGUAAGACUAUAAUAAAAUGCACAAAGGAGGACCAAAAUAGAAGGGCGCGAAAGGAAGAAGGACCAAAUGGGUAAUAAACCCGAUUUUCAGGCCACGCGUCCCUUCCUUAGGGGCCCAACUAAUUGAGGAUCAAAUUAAAAAAGGGAACAAAUCCGUGGUCCAAAUUAAAAUAGGAGAAAAAAAGACAAAUGGUCCAAAUUGAAACAGACUGAAAAUGCGGAAGGGCCUGAAGCGCAAAUAACCCCUUUGAUAGAAAACACGCGGAUCCUUGGCAAGCGGGUCGGAUGGAUCGGGUCUAAAGACUAAACGACGUCGUUUUAAGGCUAUGAUGCCAAGCCCUAAACGACGCCGUUUAAGAGGGGUAUAAAAUUCUAAUUUUUUUAGCAAAAAUUCAUUCUCUUCCACUCUUCAAAAAAAAAAAAACAAAAUACUCUCUCAACUCUCUAAGGCUCCGGCCUUUUGGGGUUCUCAGCCCCAGUCGCGCCGAUCAUCGCCUUGCCGCACCAGCGCCGCGCCGGCCACCGGGUGCGGUGGCCGGAAAAUUCAAAAGGUAUUUUUUUAUUUUUUUUAUUUUUUAUUUUUUUUUGCAAAUAAGCUGCUUUUUAAUAUAUAUGUAUAUAUGUGUGAAAGAUUAAAAUAAAUAAAUAUAGAGAAUAAAAGAUGCGAAAAAAAAUCACCUUUUCGAUUUUUGUUUAUAUUUCCGGGUAAAUAUUACAAAAUAGAUGAAAAGAAAAAAAAAGCCUCCCUCUUUGAUGUUCGAAUGGCUUUAUAUAGAGCCAUUUUACAAAAAAAAUUUUAUUGUUUGUUGCUGCUUGCGUGUGUUCUUCAUUUUGCAGGGCUGAUGGAGGACGAUGGGACGUGCGCGGCGCAAGUGGCAGAGCAGUUGGUGGCUACGGCGGUGCAGAGGAGUUGGUGAGAAGGUUUCUUUUUUUUUUUGGAUUUGGGCUCCGAAUUUGGGCCUCGGGUUUGGGUUGUAAUUGGGCUUGUGGGUUGGUGUUUGGGCUCUGUUAAUUGGGCUGUACAGUUGAAAUGGUAAAAAGUGGGUGGCUUAAUAUGUGGAAUAGUUUUUGGUUACACGGAAUGAGAAAAAAGUUUGGAAAAGAAAAUUGUAAGUAGUGUAGGUUGGGGACAAGCUAGAAAUUAAUAAAUUGAAAGUAAAGAAACCAAAGGCAACAAAUAAUUUUGAGAGAAUGAAGGAAAGAUUGCAUUCCAAAGAUGAAAGCUUGAUUGAAAACUUGAUUAAAAACUUGAUUAUUAAAUGAACAUAGUAGCCCCCUAUUUAUACUAGUGGCUUUGAACAAAUUUGCCAAAUUAAGGGCCACUAGCCAUAGAAAAUCAAGGAAACAAAAUAUUUUCAUGAUAUCAAAAUUCCUACAUAACCUCCCACUAAGUCAACAUAAAAUUUCAGCUAAUUACAUCUUGGAAAAAUUCUGCUUUGGCCCGCCUUCUUUGCUCCUUUCUUCAAUCUAGCCCCAAUUGUUUCCUUUUUUUUUCUAAUUAGCCUCAAAUUGCACCCCUAUAUAAAAUUCAAUAUAAACAUGAAAAAAUCAGUGAUGCAUUCUAAUAAAUUGACCAAUUAAAUUACAUAAAAUAUGUAUUUUUAACAUUUAAUCACUCGAAUUUAAAUUUAUAUAAUAAUACUAAAAUAAUUUGUGAGUAAUAAACGGAUUUAACUCUUUAAUCAUAUUUGCAUAUUUAAAUUCAAAUAAUUUUAAAAAUACAGAUAUUCGACCCAUUUCCGUUCUUAAUAAGAUUAAAGAUGCUAUCCAAAUUAAUAUUUAUAUAAUCUAUCAGGUCGAAUAGAUCAUCAGGCCGAUAUCUAUGUCAAAUAGCAACACAUGUUAGAAAAUUAUUAACUAAAUUCAAUAACUUAAUUAAAUUAUUAUCUAUACUAUUUAAGAAAUUUUUUAUUGAAUUGGUGUCACCUAUCAAUCGAGUCCUGAUUCAGUUAGAAAACUAUCAAAAAAAUCAUGUAUUUAAAAAGUAAAUUAUACAAUUACGUGAGUAUUUUUAGCUUUUUAUAUUUUUAUAUAUCAAUACUCUAUAAUGAGAUUUAAACCAAAUACAUCGUGCAUAUAAAACGUUUUCUUUACCGUUUAAACUAAAUUAAUUUUUAGUUUUUAUAUGAAACUUUAAUAAGUAUAUUUGUUAAUAAAUUUGUUCUAUAUUUAUUUUUUUUCAUUUUGGUUGAUGGAAAUAAAUUGAAAGCUUAAUUAAAUAAAUUUAAACAAAAUUCAUCAAAAUAAAUUUAAAAAUUUAUUUAUAAUUUAAACACGAAAAGUCAAACUAAACCAUCAAAAUCUUCCAACAUGCAUGAAGGUUGCGAUAAAGCAAUCCUAAUUGUACACAGACUCUUUAUCUAUUGUCAUUGAUGGACCCCAUAAGUCAGACCUUUAAAAUGACUUGUGAGAAAAUAAGCAACAAGACAAGUUAAUUUAUAACUUUCUAAAAUUAAAAUUAACUCAAAAUAAAUUAAUUUAUAAUUUAGUUGGGGUGGGUUGGAACUUUCCUUUUAUGGAAUAAACAUCAAAAUUAUAUUUGAAAAUAUAGUAUUAUAGAUGUCGGUUGAGUGUUAACUCGAUUGUCAUGAGUAUUGUUAUUAAUGUAGGAGAAUAUGAAUUUAAGUACGCUGAAACACAUUAUCUUUCUACGAAUUUACUUGCUCAUUUUACCAUGGCUGCAUCAAUUGAUGUUGGUAACAUCCAAUUCAAUUUGACUGAUUUCACCCAAAAUAUGCCUAGCAUAGGCAAUCCAACUCACCACCAACCAAAGAAACAAGGAAUUAAACGAUAGUGUUGGUCGAGCCACUUAUUACCAAACAAUGCACCUUUGGGACAAUUCAUCAGGGAAUCUCAAGAUUUCACCACUUGUCGAAACAAUUUUUUUAAAUUCAAAAAACGGGGAUCGACUUUGAAAAUAAAAUGGGAGUCGCCACCAAUCUUUUAUUGAGGUGUGAUCGGAUCACCUUAAAAAUAAUUUUUGGUCUACGAAUUUUGAGAAAAUAAGUUCGGAAGUCGGUUGCGCACGAGGAAGGGCUAGCACUCUCAUAACGCCCAAAAUUGGUACCGAAUUGGUUAUUUAAUGUCUUAGUGUCGAAACUUAACUUGAAAAGAUUUUUAAAUACGAUCCCAUGAAAUGAAAGCUUAAAUAAUUGAAUUGGUUAAAUGGACGGACCCAUUUCAAAGAAAUAGAUCACCACACUCAGUGAGUUAGAGUGCAACAGUUCAAUCUUCAAAGUUAGGUUCAUCCCUUUUUAAUAUUUUUUUUAAACAUGUUUUAAGAAGGAUAUUUGAUUAUUUAAGUCAAUCCAGAAAUCGGAAUCCAGUAAGUUAGGGUUCAAUUUCUCGAAAUUCUUAAACAUCAAAUAUUGCCUUUAUUUUAAAAUCGAGAUAACAAAAUGUCGUAUCCAGUAAGUUAGGAUCCAACAUUUUGAAAUUUAAAGAAUUUUAUUUUAAUAGUUGUAUGGUUUUAAUAAAAUGAACACUUGAUUAUCUUAAUUCAUCGAGAAGAAUUGAAGCCCAGUAAGUUAGGGCACAAUUCUCUCGAGAACCUAUGAACACCAAGCUUUUUUUAAGGAUUAUGAAAUAAAACGAUUAUGAUGCUUUAAUAAAAUUCAACUCUUACAAAUGGAUAAAAUAACAAUUUAAACUUAAACUAGAAGCAAUUAAACAAAUAAUAGGCAAAUACAAACAUUGACCUUAAUCAUAUCAUACAAACAUCCAUAUUAAUAAUUUAACAACCCAUAAAACGAAUAAAAUAAAUAAGGUUUAAGAAAUAAAACAUUUAUGUAUAAAAAUUAUGUAAAAAAGGUUAAUCCAAAGUUAAUGAUAUACUCUAUAUACAUAUAUAUACUAAAAAUAAUUUCAUAUAAAUUAUAUAUUUUUUAAAAGUAAUAUUGAUAAAAUUAAAACAUAUUGAUAAUAAUUUAAAAAAAUAAUGUAUUAUUUUUUUAAAAAAAUUUGUACUAAUAAUAAAUUUGAAAAUAAUAUCAUACUAAAUAUCAAAAUAAUGUUAGAAAAUGAAUUAAAAUAAGAAUUAAUUUGUUUAAAAAACAUUUUUUUUGAAGACAAAAUUAAAUAUAAUAAAACAAUUUUGAAAAGUAAUAACAAUAUUAUAAUAAAAAUAUUAAUAAAUUUAAGAUCGGAACUUAAAAUUAAACCAAAAGGAAAAGCCAAAAUUAAAUAAAUAUAGUAGAUUCAAAAUAUUAUUAUAUAAUAAAUUUAAAAUAUAAAAUACAAACUAAAAUAAUAAUCUAUCAUAUCUUAAAUUAUAAUAAUUGUAGAUUUAAAAAAACCAUCAAAAUCAAAUGUUACAAAUAACGUUAGAUUUUAUAAUAUACGAAAAUAGGAUUAAUUAUAAUUAAAAAAUGUUAUUGAUUUCUUUUUUUUUUAAACUAAACUCAUGUUAAAUUAAAAUUUAUUUCAAAAUUGGAGGACUGAAUCGGCAAUUAAACCCAAAAGCUCAGAAUAAUCAAAGUCAAGUGCAGUAAACGGUAUCGUUUCAAUUUGGAUCUAAAUGAAAACAGAACAAAAUAUGCAGUACGAAUUACAAACAAUUAAAAGAAAUCAAAUCGCAAUUCCAUUAAACAUAGAGGGACCCAUUGAACAAAUAGACCAAAUGAUCCAUAAUGCGCGGAUCCUUCCCGGAUCGGGUCACCAUUCGGAUCUGGUCACCAAAACGAUGUCGUUUCAAAGUCAUUGCAUUGGCUUUAAACGACGACGUUCAAACUACAUAAUUAAAGUUUAAAAAAAAACCUAAUAAUCUAUUAACUUUGAAAACCUGAAGAGAACUAAGGUUCUCUGCGCCGUUCUGGGCAUUGGGGGCAUGCAAGCAAUUGCUGACCCUAACCCAUACUUCGAUGAUGACGGAGAGAGCCAGGAUCCCACCGCCAGGUACGCCUUUUCCUUUAUUUUUAUUGUCUCUUCUCUUCUCUCUGAUUAAUGACACAAAAAUAAAUAAAAGAAAAAAGAAACAAGAAAUAACUGGUGAAAGGAAAAAGAAAUGAAACCCAGAAAAUCACCUUUCGGUAUUUCAAAAUUUCUUUGUAUUCUGAAUGCGUGUGUGUAACCCCUUACAAAUUUCAAUCGGUCCUCUUUAUAGCCAAACCAAGAAAAAAAAUAAAAUUUCUCUAUUUUUUUGCACUUUCUUCCUAUUUUCUACUAGUAUUUGCUGUCAAUCUAUUAUUGUUCCCCCUUUCUUUACUGUUGUUAUCUGUUUUGCUGCUUGUUUGUUUCUCCUUCUUGCAGGUACGGCGUACGGAGGGUAGACGUGGCGUGUGGAGGCACGAGUGAGGCUGAGGGAGAACCUUGUUGGCUGCGGCGUUGGAGGCUUACCAUUCAGCUUUUGAUUUUGCAUCGUUGGGCCACAUAGUAAUUGGGCCACUGUUUUACGAAUUGGGUCUAGGUUAGAUUUGGUUUCAAUUGUAUGGGUAUUGGGUUAAAAAUGAUUUGGGCCCAUGUAUUUGGACUUUAGACUUUUAAAUAUUGAUUUGGUUUAUUAUUAUUACGGGCCGAGAAAAUAUUGGGCCUUACACCACUCAUUUUUCUUUCUCCAUCGAUUCCUUCAAUAAGUCCUCCGGUGAUAAUGAUUGUUCUCAUUGGCUAUGAAGAUUACUAUUUUGGGUAAACUAUCAAAAUAGUCACUUUUGUUUGCCUUAGGUUACAUUUUAGUCACUUAUAUUUGAAAUGUUACGUUUUAGUCACUUACGUUAUCAUGUUGUAACAUUUUAGUCACUGAGUCAUUAAUUGUCAACAAUGGUGUAACGGUAAGUUGAUGUGGCACGUUAAAUCAUCAUUUCAAACCAAAAUUUUAGGUUAAAUUCUACAAUUGGUCCCUAUAUUUUUUCAUUUUCAACAAUUUAAAAAAUUUCUUUUAUGUUCUUCUAUUUUUUUUUCCAUUCUCUUAUGCUUCUCCCUCUAUUUUCCUCCCUUCUUCAUUUCUUUUAACAUAGUUUUUCUAUGCUUUCCAUUUGUAACUAGUCCACAAGCUCGCCUCACUCGAAAUAUUUAACUUGUUCAAAAAAAUAAAACAUAGAAAAACUACGUUGAAAGAAAUGGAGAAGGGAGGAAAACAAAGGGAGAAGCAUAAGAGAAUGGAAAAGAAAGAAAGUUAAAAAAACAUAAAAGAAAAAAAUUAAAUUGCUCCAAACGAAAAAAUAUGGGGAUCGAUUGUAUAAAUUAACCUAGAAUUUUUGUUUGAAAUGAUGAUUUAACAUGCCACAUCAGUUUACUGUUACACCGUUAACAGAAACUAACGGCUCAGUGACUAAAAUGUUACAACGUGAUAACAUAAGUGACUAAAACGUAACAUUUCAAACAUAAGUGACUAAAAUGUAACCUGAGCCAAACAAAAGUGAUUAUUUUGGUAGUUUACCCUACUAUUUUUAGAUUUAAAUUUUGUUCUUGUUAUGGUUUUCCAAGUGUAAAGUAAUGGUUAUUUUCGUUCUUAAUAAAAGUUGAAUUUUCUUAGCAAAAUGUACAAAUAUAUAAAAUCUUAUCAAAAAAAUCAUAUCGAACUUGUUGUGAGGAGACCCAUUGACUUGUAAUUAAUCUAAAGUCUUUGUAGUUUUAUAAACAUUUAUGACCACAAUAAGUGGAGCCCAUAGAGAAGAAGUCAAUUAUUUAUUGAGUAAAAGAUUAUAUGAAAUUGAGAUACUAUAUUAUUUGUAUCUAUUUUAAUAAUUUAAUGUCAUUUCAGCAUACAAAAUUUAUUGAAUAAAUAAUUGAAAAAAAACGUCAAUUAUGAUUAUGUCCGUGUUUUUGAUCUUUUAUAUUUAUAUUAAUACUCCAUAAUGAGAUUUAAAUCAAAGUAUCAUACUAUAAAAAAAUUUCUUUACCAUUUGAACUAAAGUAUUUUUUAAGUUUUAUAUGAAACUUUAAUAAGUAUAUUUGUUAAUAACCUUGUUCUAUAUUUAAUAUAUUUUUUUAUUUUUUAUUUCAUGUUUUAUUAUUAAUUAAUUUCAAAUCAUACAUUUCAUUAUUUAUUAUAUGUUAUUUUUAAACAUAAAUUUGUAUUUUAAAUUCAUAAUUUUCACACGUAUACAUAUAUAAUAAAAUCUGUAAUAUUUUAUUAAAAUUUUAAAAAUUGAUUUAAAAAUUAAAAUUUUGCAUCAACUAAUACUACCGAUAUAACCCAAUAUUAGUCUAAACAUAUUGAAGCACAUUAUGUCUGUUCUUUUUUAUAUAAUGUUUAAAACUAUCUAUAGUCCUUCCUCAACUCAUAAAUAAAAGUAAUAUGUUUCUACACACUCGAACCUACAUAUUCCUGCAUAUUACUAAUCAAGUUAAACUCGAUUAAAAAAAUGACAUUUAUUGCCUAAUUACGUAUACGGGUAAUCUUCCAAGUCUUCGCAGGUCUAUUGUCAUUGAUGGGCCCCCUAAAUCAGUCCAUUAAAAGCACUUGUAAGAAAAUAAAGUGGCCUAAAAUAUAAGUGAUGUAGUUGGGUACGUCGGCACCUUCCUUUAUUGAAUAAAUAUUAAAACUUUAUUUGAAAUUUAAUUUAAUAUAUAAUAAUAUAAAUUUUAAUUUUAUGAAAUUAUAUAUAAAUAUUUUAUUUGAUUUAAUAUUUACAAAUCACUUAUAAUAUUAUUGAUUAAGUAUCAUUUACGUUAUUAUAUUAUAUAUAAAAAAUAUAUAUUAAUUUAAUAUGAAAAUAAAUCUACCUAAUAUUUAUUUCUUUGUAAAUAUCAACCACAAAGUAGGGGAUUCAAUACGAUGCUUUGUAGGUCCAAUGUAUGGCAAGAAUGUCAGAACUUUAUUUAAGUUUAUUUCCAGACCUGAAAAGCAAUGAAUUAGCUUGUGUUUGCAGCAAGUUCCGUCAAAAUCCUUACUCCGAAAAUGAAGAAAGCUGAGAAUAUGUAUCUCAAAUCUCUUAAACCUGAAUUUCUCUUCGUAGUAUUAUUGUUAUACACCCUUCCUAUGGCUGCAUCAAUUGAUAAUGGUAACAUCCAUUUCACUUUGACUAAUUUCACCUCAGAUACGCCUAGCAUAGAGUUUGAAAAUGAUGCAACAGCAUCAGGUGGCGCAAUAGAACUAACCACCAACCAAAAUGGCAAGGCUUUAAUCUAUAGAGUUGGUCGAGCCACUUAUUACCAACCAAUGCACCUUUGGGACAAUUCAUCUGGGAAUCUCCGACUUGCAGAUUUCACCACUCAAUUUUCUUUCGCCAUCAAUUCCUUGAAUAAGUCCUUCGGAGAUCGGGCUGAGGAUGAUAGUAGGGCUGAUGGGUUUGCGUUUUUCCUUGCUCCCUAUGGUUCAAAAAUCCCUCCUAACUCCGGAGGUGCUUGCCUGGGACUUCAAACUUGCGAUUCAGACGCCAACUCUAAAUUUGUUGCCGUGGAGUUUGAUACGUUUCGCAACCUAUGGGAUCCUCCGACGAUGUCAGAUCACGUGGCCAUUGAUCUCAACUCUGUAAAGGCUUCACUCCACCCUGUCGAAUGGCUGUGGAAUGAUAUUGAAAAUGGGGGGAAAGUUGAUGCUUUCAUCACUUACAACUCCAGUACAAAAAACCUUAGCGUUCUUUUAUGUGAUGCUGAUGGCCUUACUCAUCAAAAUUCAUCUAGUCUUUCUGCAAUAUUGGAUCUUAGUCUAUAUUUACCAGAAUGGGUCACUUUUGGCUUCUCCGGAUCCACGGGACGAUUAUCUGAGCUACACACUAUUUAUUCCUGGGAUUUCAGCUCCAGCUUACAGGUUUCCAUGAAUCCAACCAGCAAUCCUCCAAAUGUGGCGCCAGGCCCUCCAAUCAACCCCAAAAGGAAGAGCAAGACAUGGCAGUGGGUAGUUCUAGCCAUUGCUGGUGGCAUUUUUGCAUUGCUCCUAGUUCUGGGUCUGGCUUCGCUUUUCUGCAAGAGGAGAAAGUACAGAAGGAUGAGGGAAAAUGGGACCAUGUCUGCCAACGUAGACAUGGAAAUGGUGACAGCACCUAGGAAGUUUUCCUACAGGGAACUCUGGCUGGCAACCAAUAAUUUUGCCGAUGAAGGUCUCCUUGGAGAGGGAGGUUUUGGAAAAGUUUAUUUAGGCUUCUUGAGGGACAUCAAUUCCAAUAUUGCUGUCAAAAGGAUAACUCCAAAUUCUCAACAAGGGGUGAAAGAGUACGAAUCCGAAAUUACCACUAUUAUCAGAUUGAGGCACAGGAAUUUGGUCCAACUCAUCGGUUGGUGCCAUGACAAUAAGGAGUUCCUCAUUGUGUAUGAGUUCCUUCCAAAUAGGAGUCUCGAUUACCAUCUACAUAGAGAGCCAUGCUUGUUGACAUGGGAUACAAGGUAUAAAAUUGCCAUGGGAGUGGCCUCAGCGUUGUUCUAUUUGCAAGAAGAAUGUGACCAAUGCGUGCUGCAUCGAGACAUCAAGUCAAGUAAUGUUCUGUUGGAUUUGAGUUACAAUGCCAAGCUUGGUGACUUUGGGCUGGCUAGGCUUGUUGACCACGGACAAGGGUCUCAAACAACAAAAUUGAUCCUUGGGACUGAUGGUUAUAUAGCACCCGAGUGUCUUGAGACAUACAAAGCCAUUAAGGAAUCCGACAUAUACAGCUUUGGUAUUGUUGCCUUAGAAAUAGCCUCCGGAAAGAAGGCCGUAGCUGUGAUUGAAAGGAAUGGCAAGAGAUUCAAGACAAAACUGGUGGAAUGGGUUUGGGAAUUGUAUAGGGAAGAGCGUCUUUUGGAUGCUGCUGACCCAAGAUUGUCUGGAAACUACGACACGGAACAAAUGGAACGGUUGCUGUUAGUUGGGAUGGCUUGUGCUCACCCAAACUAUUUUGACCGCCCAUCCAUAACACAGGCUAUCGAAAUACUUGGUUCCAAAGCCCCACCGCCCAGUUUACCACGCGAGAUGCCGGUUCCAAUAUACAGUGCAGCUCUGCAAGACAACAUUGUUACACCUUCAGCUGCCACUUCAUCCUAUACCAGUGCCUCCAGCAGAAGCCAAACUCAAAGUUCAGGCACUGUGUUAAGUAUCCAUUCCUUUAAGGAUAAAACAAUGGCUCCAGGUUAUGACACGGAAGCCAAGCAGUGACUUCUUGGCAGUUGGUAGUUGAACCUUCUUUUUUUGUUGUUGUUGUUGUAUAUUUGGCUUCUUGGUUUCCAGUUUGAUGCUGUGUUAUAUCCAUGGUUUCUGGACCUUGUGUUUUGUUCUUUUGAUUGGGUAUAUACGAAGAUCACUCUAUGUAAAUAUUUGAUUCUUCUUAGUGUAAUGAUUGCUUUGGUUGAUUUCAAAAAAUUUAAUUCAUUUAAUUUUUAAAUUUAAAAAAUAAAAGUUGAAUUGUUAACACUAUUAAAUUAUGUAAAAUACAUCCAAACAAUUAUAAUUAUAAUUAAUCAUUAAAAAACACAAUCGAAUUGAUGAUCAGAAGAUAUUCAAACUUAUAUUAGAAUAAAUCUAUAUAUAAUUCACAUUGUGGGACAUAAACAAGAAUAUAUAUAUAUAUGAUGAAAACCCACAUAUGAUUCCUCAACCGAUCGAUAUUGUUCCCAAUAGGGAUUUUGUCUCUUGACUCCAAUGAUAGCCUGAGUACUUGAAAAGGUAGUGAUUCACGCAGUGGAAACGCCUUGUUAGGUGCCUAAAAAUGUGGACUAUGUACUCACAUGGCUAUUCACCAAAGAAAUCUCUAUAUCUGGUCACUUGGAUUAGCAAUAAUAUUUAUAUAUUGUUUUUGUUUUUGAUACAAAAUUAAGGGUUAGGGAUGGAAGUCACACGAUUUAAAUCUGUAUUAUACGAAUGUCUGCCAAAAACUUUAAGUACCACUCCAUCUAAGUGAAGACAAUAUAUAUUGUUUUUGUUAGCUAUUUUAGUUUUAAUUUAACAAUUUUUUGUUAAAAUACAUGUUAAAUUUUUAAUUAUUUAAUUAUAAUACUAACUUAGAAAUAUUUUUAAUUUUAUAUUUUAAUUAAUUGUUUUUAUUAAAACCUUCCUAACAAUGAUAACUAAUUAAUUUUACAUAAAAUAAUUUAAUAAAUUCCCUUCAUUGUUAUUAUAUUUUUAUUUAAAUUUUGCAAACUAAAUAGAUCACAAGGAAAUUUUUGAGAUAUUCUUCAAACUAAGGGGGAGUGGGGGACCAAAUGGGCAUUCGUGAAACCAUAUGGGUAAGUAUAUAUGUAACGCCCUAAAUAAUUUAUUUUUAUUUCUGUAAAUACUUGACAAAUGUGUAUUUAUUUCAGUGGUUAAGUGUUCUGGGUAUGUGUUUGAGGUAUUGAGUUCAAGUCUCAUCUUUGUCAAAUUUUGUUAUUUUUUUAUCCAAGCCUUACCCUUAUUGAGUGGGCUUAUAUAAAAUUUUCUGUUAAUCUAUAUUAGAAUGAGCUUGUUGGUUUGAGUGGUAAAGGAGUUGGUGUGUGUUGGAGGUCCUAAGUUCGAAUCCCUGCAUGAGUGAAGGUGUUUAUUUUUCUUCGGUUAACUAAUAGAGUUUCGGUAGAGCUAAAGUUUUGAAGUGGUUGAGAUUGAGGUGUUAGUGGGAAGUUGGGAAUAUCAAAUUGGUUUUAAUUUUAUUUAUUAUUUUUUUCCCAAAAUUUCCUCUGUUGACUUUUUUUUCUGUUGCUUUUCAUUCUCUACAUUUUUUUUCUUUUUCCUCUCCAUCUUUCAAACUUUGUUCCAAUUAAACUGUGGGUUUCGUUGACUGAUCGGCAUUGUUGUGCAAUUGUUGCUUCUUUCUGUCCAACUUUCAAUUGCGAUUUAAUUUGGUAAGUUUGGGUAGGGUAGUUUUGCUUUCGUUUGGUAAUCCUUUAUUAAUGGGUGUCGUUCAUGUUGAUUAAGGGAAGAUCAAUGGGCUCAGAAUCGUCUGUCGGUGACUUAGUUGCGUGGGAAUUACCGUUGUUCGAUCGAAGGUAAAGGUUUGGUUGUUUAAUGGAUGAAUGGACCGACUUGGGUUCAGUUUUAGUUUGGUUUUAAGCGUCUAAUUUAGUGUUUUAUUGGUCAAUCUUAGGUGCUGUGAGGUUCGAGAGUGUUUCCGCAUCGAAAUUGUACCAUGUGUGUACCAAAAAUGCAAAAGAUCAAACUUUGGUAAAAGCCAAAAAAACCUUACUUUCGACGCCACACGGGCGUAUGCCUGGCCGUGUGGAAGACACGGCUGUGUGUUUGACGAGGGUAUGGCCAUGUGCAAGACACGACUGUGUGAUAGUGUGGGUGUGGCCGUGUGGGCCACACGGGCUAGGCCAAGUUGGGCGUGUGGGCCCACAUAGGCAUAUGAGACAAUAAUUUUAAAAUUUUCCUAGGGUUUCACAAGUCGUUUUGAUCGACUGUGGGCCUACCGUAGGGUCCGUAAAGGCUAACUAAACCCUAAAAUUAUAUGAUCUGAUAGUCUAAUAUUCUGCUCUUAGUAUGACACUGUUAUGCAUGUCUGAUUAGUCUGAUAUAUAUUUGAUAUUUGUAUAUGACCAUGUAAGCAUGAUAAUUCUGAUUUUAUAUAUCUGAUUAGGGUGGGAUUUGCAUAUGUGGAGGAAGUGUUCUAAAGGGUGACCAUCGCCUUUAUUCUGGCAGAUUGGCUGCAUAUUAUCUGAUAUGUGUCAUAAUGACACAAUGUGGUGUGUAGGGUUGGGUGGGUGUUUUUAACCCCACAUGGUGUGAUGGGAUGGUCGGAGCUGGUGUGUAGAGGAUGGGGAUAGGAUUCUGUAUAUCUGUUAUGCAUAUCUGUUUCUGUUAUUUGAAUCUGUAAAGGACUUAAGUCCAAAUAUGAAUCUGAAUCUGACUGUGUAUGUUAAUUAUGUAUGUAUAACAUGUCUAUUUCUAAUGGGUUACAUACGAAGUUUACGUAAACUCACUUCUGUUUGUCUUCUCUGUUCAGGUAAUCCAUAGACUUAGGCGGAUCGGUACAGCGAAAUCUUGCGGUGACCACCAGUCUAUGAACUGACUUAAAAUAAAUGUUUUAUUUAUUUAAAGAUUAUUUCUGGAAGUUUUGUAUUAAUUGGACUCUCUGGGCUGUUGUUUAAUUUUUGGGAUUUGGAUUUUUCGUUUAAUAUUUUAUUUGCGACUAUUAUCUAGAAUCAUGGUUUUUACUAAAACAAAGGUUUUCCAAACUUACGAAUGGAAUUUUAGGAAAAUAACGCUUACUAUAAUUUUCGCUGUAAAUUACAUUUUGGCAAAUAAACCAAUUAAUUAACAUUUUCGACAAUGGAUAUAAACAAAUAUAAGUUAUUAAGCUGAAAUGAUUUAACUUAACGAUUCUGUUUUCAUAACUCAUUCUUUGUGACAUUUCCGGAUUCGGCCACAACGUUUAAGCCGGGUUUGUGGUGUUAGAUUUAGUGGUAUCAGAGCCAGGUUACAAAACUCAGGCUAUGAAUUUUAGGUUCCAAAAUUGUGUUUCAAAAGAAUUGGUUUUCAAACAAUUUGGAUACUUUGAGAAAGUAUGUGGUAUAUUGAGUCUCCAGCGCCAAUCCUGUAAGUAUUUCUAAAUUUAGAUAGAAUACUCUAAAAAAACUGUAGAUAGAACUCUCUAAAACUGUACUAAGUUAGUCGGAAACUAAAACCUCUAAAAACAGUUCUGAACUUCUGAAAAUUUAUACAUAAAAUAUCUGCUAAUAAAUACUGGAACUGAUACAUAAAAUUUUAUAGUGUAGUUAAAAUUUAAAAUUUACAAUAAGCACUCGUGGAACUCGCAGACUUUAUAUUCGUGGCUGUGGUAAAGGCUGUAGGGGGCUCGAGCUGAGUCUUCCUCUCUAGGCAAUAUGCCAAACUUAAAUACAAGUGAGACAUCGGUUUUGCCUGCUACUGAGACUGGGUCUCGAAGCCAUUCUGCUGGGGAUGAAGUACUAUCCCAAGCCAUGUUGAGGAUAUUGGAGAGGGUCACUGGACCCCAUUUUGGAUCUGGGGGUCGUGGGUCAGUAACUAAAUGACUCCGGUCCAAUGGUGCAAAGUUGUUUAGGGGUGUCACUAAAGUCGUCCCUACUGUGGUAGAGUAUUGGUUGGAGGCCACCGAGAGGAUCAUGAAUGAUAUAGACUGUACUCCUGAGCAGAAACUUAUGGGUGCAGUCUCUUUACUUCUCGACGAGGCGUAUCAAUGGUGGUUAUCUGUUGAGGAGGGUACUCAGGCAGAUCGUCUGAAUUGGGACUUCUUCAAGACUAAUUUUUAGGGGAAAUAUGUGGGUGCGAGCUACGUUGAUGCUCGUAGGCGUGAGUUCAUGAAUCUUACACAGGAUGAUAGAUUAGUGGCUGAGUAUGAGGCCGAGUUUCUAAGGUUGAGCCGCUACGCUCGAGGCAUGGUGGUGUCUGAGUAUGAGAAGUGUGUUCACUUGAGGACAUUCUAAGAGAUAGUUUGAGGAUUUUGAUUACUCCGCAGAGGGAGCGCGAGUUUUCUAUUCUUGUGGAUAAAGUAAAGAUCGUCGAGGAAGUUAAGCGUGUGGAGCGCCAGAACAGGGACCAUGAAAGAGGCAAGAGUAAGAGGGAGUCGGGGCACUUUAGUUCUAUUCAGAGGCCUAAGAAAAAGGCCAGAACUGAUGGGUCAGUUAGUGUGGGGGUUCAUGUUGCUCGUACUAGGAUUCAACCAUGUGAAGAUUGAGGUAAGCGCCAUCUGAGUGAGUGUUGGAAGAAGAUAGGGGGUUGCUUGAUGUAUGGAUCUUUGGAGCACCGUAUUAGAGAGUGUCCAUAGCGGGUAGAUCAGAUGCAAGCUUUAGGAUCGGGUUCUGUACAGCCUCAAAGGGCAAUUCAGCAGUCACUUAGGGGCUAUCGACCGGCUAGGAGUGGUAAUUGUAUAGGUCGUGGAUAGAGAGCACCAGGUAGAGGUGCUAGUCAAACUAAGGUAAGGCAGCCUACGUUAGUUUAUGCUGCUUGACGUCGAGAGGAUAGAGAUGCUCCUGAUGUUAUCACCUAUAUGUUUUUUUUAUUUUUGAUGUACCUUAUACUACUCUGAUAGACAUAUGUUCUACACACUUCUAUGUAGCUAGUUCUGUUUCUGAAAACCUAGAGAUUUUAGUCCAGAGCAUUUCCAGUGAGACUAUUGUACUGAGUCUGUUAGGACAAUCUGUGCGGGUUAGUAAAAUUUAUAGGAAUAUUCCGUUAGUGGUGCAAGGGGAUGUAUUUCUGGUAAAUCUGAUGAAGCUUCCGUUUGAGGAGUUUGAUUUAAUUUUGGGUAUGAAUUGGUUGGUUGAGCAUCGAGUUAGCUUAGAUUGCACGACUGGGAGGGUUGUUCUUAGGACCGAAGAUGAUAAGGAGGUGAUUAUGAUCGGUGAGUAUCGAGAUUAUCUAUCUAAUGUGAUCUCCACUCUAGUGGCUGAGAAAAUGAUUCAAAAAAGGUGUGAGGCGUUUAUGGCCUACGUUAGUGUUUUUGUUUCUGAUGACUAUUCUGUCGCGGAUAUCAGAAUAGUGCGAGAUUUUUCGGAUGUCUUUCCUGAAGAGUUACUGGGUUUACCUCCAAAUCGUGAGUUUGAGUUCGAUAUUGAGCUUCUACUAGGUACAGUUUCGGUGUCUAUCGCUCCAUAUCGUAUGGCAUUGAAGGAGCUUACAGAGCUUAAAGCUUAACUUUAAGAGUUUCUAGAUUGUGGUUUCAUCCGUCUUAGUGUGUCAUUGUGGGGGGGACUGGUUCUGUUUGUUAAGAAAAAAGAUGAGACCAUGAUGAUGUGUAUUGAUUAUCGACAACUGAAUAAACUGACGGUGAAGAAUAAGUAUCCACUUUCGAGGAUCGACGAUUUGUUUGUUCAGUUCCGAGGGGCUUUAGUGUUUUCAAAGAUUGACCUUCGUUUUGGGUACCAUAAGCUUAGAUUUAAGGAAGCUGAAGUUCAUAAGACUGCAUUUAGGACUUGUUAUAGACAUUAUAAGUUCCUAGUUAUGCCUUUUAGUCUGACAAAUGCUCCGGCUGCAUUUAUAGAUCUAAUGAAUCUAAUAGUUUAGCCAUAUCUGGAUCAGUUCAUCGUGGUUUUCAUCAAUUAUAUUAUGGUUUACUCUAAGACCGACGAUGAGCAUGAUGAGCAUCUUAGAGUAGUGCUUCAGACACUCUGAAAGAAAUAGCACUACGCUAAGUUGAGAAAGUGUGAGUUCUGGUUGUAAGAGGUAACUUUUCUAGGGCAUAUGAUUUCUGUUGAGGGGAUCCGAGUGGAUCCGAGAAAGAUCGAGGUUGUGCUUGAUUGGAAACAGCCUAAGAACGUAUCUAAGAUCCGUAGUUUUUUGGGUCUUACAGGUUAUUAUCGACAGUUUGUUGAGGGGUUCUCUCUGAUUGCAGCUCCUUUGACUAAGCUUCUGCGCAAGGGUGUUUCUUUAUUUUAGACUGAUACACAACAAUCAACCUUCGAGAAGCUCAUGUCUGUUCUGACUCAAGCUCCUAUUCUAAUAUAGUCUGAAUCUGGUAAAAAAUUUAUGGUGUACAAUGAUGCAUCGCACGUUGGGUUGGGAUGUGUAUUGAUGCAAGAUGGUAAGGUGUGGCUUUUACGUCCCGUCAGCUUAGGAUACACGAAGAAAAUUACCUGAUGCAUAAUUUCGAGUUGGCUGUUGUGGUUUUGCGUUAAAGAUUUGGAGGCACUAUCUGUAUGGUGAGAGGUGUAUCAUCUACACUAAUCACAAGAGCUUCAAGUACCUCUUUACUCAUAAAGAGUUAAAUCUUAGACAGCGUCGAUGGAUUGAGUUGUUCAAAUAUUAUGACUGGAUGAUAGAGUAUCAUUCUGGUAAGGCCAAUAUGGUGGCCGAUACUCUUAGUCGUAGAGCGAUGACUGAUUUGAGAGCAAUGUUCACUUAUUUUAGUUUGUUUGAUGAUGAAGGUAUGUUAACCGAGUUGCAGAUUAGGUCGACUUGGAUUGAUCAAAUUCGGGAUAAGCAGUUAGAGGAUGAGUCUUUGGGUUUGCGGUUCCGUCAGGUUGAGAGUGGUAGUAUUUCAGAUUUUGGGCUGAAUAGUGAUGGGGUUCUAUUUUUCGAGGACGAAUUUGUGUACCGGACGAUUCUGAUUUGAGGCAGUCGAUUCUAAGAGAGGCACAUAGUAGCCCUUAUACUAUGUAUCUUGGUGGUAAUAAGAUGUAUUAGGAUCUCUAUGAAUUGUAUUAGUGGCCAAGUUUGAAACGUGAGGUUACAGAUUUUGUUACUCGUUGUUUGACGUGCCAGCAGGUUAAGGCUGAACACUAGUUACCUUUAGGUUUGCUUCAACCCGUUAAGAUUCCCUUAUCGAAAUGGAAAAGAGUAACGAUAAACUUUGUUAGUAGGCUGCCCUUGACACCCACUAAUAAGGAUUUCUAUUUGGGUCAUCGUGGAUUAAUUGACUAAGUCUGCUCAUUUUCUUUCAGUCCGAACAGACUAUUCUCUGUAGAAGUUAGCGAAGCUCUAUAUUUCUGAGAUUGUAAGACUUCAUGGGGUUCCUGUUUCGAUAAUUUCUAGUAGAGAUCCUCGCUUCACUUCUCGGUUCUGGAAAAAAUUACACGAGGCUCUAAGUUUGAGAUUAGACUUCAGUACUGCAUUCCAUCCUCAGACUGAUGGUCAAUCUGAGAGGGUGAUUCAGAUACUAGAUGAUAUGCUUGGGAGUUGUGUGAUUGAUUUUCGAGGUAGUUGGGGUGAUUUUCUGUCACUAGCUGAGUUUGCCUAAAAUAACAAUUUACAGUCUAGCAUCCAGAUGGCAGCUUACGAGACUUUAUAUGGUCGUAAGUGUCGUACUCCACUGUGUUGGACUGAGUUGGGUGAGUGUCGGGUUUUGGGUCCUAAGUUGGUUUUUGAGACCGAAGAUAAGGUUAGAUUGAUUAGGGAUCGUUUGAAAGCGGCUUCUGAUAGACAGAAGUCUUAUACAGGUUUAAAGAGGUGAGAUAUUGAGUACUUUGUGGGUGACUUCGUCUUUCUUAAGGUUUUCCCGUGAAAAAAGUUCUAAGAUUUGGUCGUAAGGGCAAGUUGAGCCUUAGGUUCAUUAGGUCAUAUCAGAUUCUGAAGCAUGUGAGAUCAGUUACUUAUCAGUUGGAGUUACCUCCAGAGUCAACCUGUAUCCAUGAUGUGUUUCACGUCUUGAUGCUGAGGUGGUAUUGGUCUGAUCCAUCUCACGUUGUCUCUAUUGAGGAGAUCGAGAUGAGGUCGGACUUGACUUUUGAGGAGGAGCCGGUUCAAAUUUUGGAUCGUGAUAUUAAGGUUUUUAGAAGGAAGUCCAUUGCAUUAGUAAAGGUUCUAUGUCGGAAUCAUAGCACUGAGGAAGUCACGUCGGAACCUGAGGACUCGAUGCAUCAAUAGUAUCCUCAUCUGUUCUGAUCAGGUAAAUUUCAAGGUCAAAAUUUCUUUUAGGAGGUAGAGUUGUAACGCCCUGAAUAAUUUAUUUCUAUUUCUGUAAAUACUUGAAAAAUGUGUAUCUGCUUCAAUGGUUAAGUAUUCUGGGUGUGUGUGUGAGGUCUUGGGUUCAAGUUUCACCUUUGCCAAAUUUUAAUAUUUUUUUGAUCCAAGAUUUACCCUUGUUGAAUAGGCUUAUAUAAAAUUGUAUGUUAGUCCAUAUCAGAAUGAUUCUGUUGGUUCUAGUGGUAAGGGAGUUGGUGUGUGUUGGAGGUCCUAAGUUCGAAUUCCUGUGUGAGUGAGGGUGUUUAUUUUUCUUCAGUUGACUGAUAGAGUUUCGGUAGAGCUAAAGUUCUGAAGUGGUUGAGAUUGAGGUGUUAGUGGGAAGUUGGGAAUAUCAAAUUGGUUUUAAUUUUAUUUAUUAUUUUUCUCAAAAUUUCUUCUGUUGAAUUUUUUUCUGUUGCUUCUCAUUCUCUACGUUUUCUUUUUCUUUUUCCUCUCCAUCUUUCGAACUUUGUUCCAAUUAAAGUAUGGGUUGUGGUGCAAUUGUUUCUUCUUUCUGUCUAAUUUUCAAUUGAGAUUUAAUUUGGUAAGUUUGGGUAGGGUAGUUUUGCUUUCGUUUGGUAAUCCUUUAUUAAUGGGUGUCGUUAAUGUUGUUUAAGGGAAAGAUCAAGGGGCUUAGAAUCGUCCUUCGGUGACUUAGUUGCAUGGGAAUUACCAUUGUUUGAUCGAAGGUAAAGGUUUGGUUAUUUAAUAGAUGAAUGGAUCGACUUGGGUUCAGUUUUAGUUUGGUUUUAAGCUUCUAAUUCAGUGUUUUAUUGGUCAACCUUAGGUGCUGUAUGGUUCGAGAGUGUUUCUGCAUCGAAAUCGUACCGUAUGUGUACCCAAAACGCAGAAGAUAAAACUUCGGCAAAAGCCGAAAAACCUUACUGUCGACGCCACACGGGCGUAUGCCUAGCUGUGUGGUUGGCUGUGUGCGAGACACGGUCGUGUGUUUGACGAGGGCAUGGCCAUGUGCAAGAUACGACUGUGUGAUGGUAUGGGUGUGGCCAUGUGGACCACACGGGCUAGGCAAAGUUGGGCGUGUGGGCCCACUCGGACAUAUGGGCCAAUAAUUCUAAAAUUUUCUCUAAGGUCUCACGGGUCGUUCCAAUCGACUGUGGGCCUACCGUAGGGUCGGUAAGGACUAACCGAACCCUAAAAUUGUAUAAUCUGAUAAUUUAAUAUUCUACUCUGAGUAUGACACUGUUAUGCAUGUCUAAUUAGUCUGAUAUAUAUAUUUGAUAUUUGUAUAUGACCAUGUAAGCAUGAUAAUUCUGAUUAUAUAUAUUUGAUUGGGGUGAGAUUUGUAUAUGUGGAGGAAAUCUUCUGAAGGGCGACCAUCGCCUUUAUUCUAGCAGAUUGGCUGCAUAUUAUCUGAUAUAUGUCAUAAUGACACAAUGUGGUGUGUAGGGUUGGGUGGGUGUUUUUAACCCCACAUGGUGUGAUGGGAUGGUCGGAGUUGGUGUGUAGAGGAUGGGGGUAGGAUUCUAUAUAUCUAUUCUGCAUAUAUGUUUCUGUUAUCUAAAUCUGUAAAGGACUUAAAUCCAAAUAUGAAUCUGAAUCUAACUGUGUAUGUGAAUUUUGUAUGUAUAGCAUGUCUAUUUCUGAUAGGUUACACACGGAGUUUACGUAAACUCACUUUUGUUUGUCUGUUCUGUUCAGGUAAUCCACAUACUUAGGCGGAUCGGUGCAGUUGAGGCUUGCGGUGACCACUAGUCUACGAACUGACUUAAAAUAAAUGUUUUAUUUAUUUAAAGAUUAUUUCUGCAAUUUUUGUAUUAAUUAGACUAUCCGGACUGUUGUUUAAUUUUUGGAUUUGGAUUUCUCGUUUAAUACUUUAUCUGCAACGGUUAUCUAGAAACAUGGUUUUUGCUAAACAAAGGUUUUCCAAACUUAUGACUGGGAUUUUAAGUAAAUAACACUUACUAUAAUUUUCGCGGUAAAUUACGUUUUGGCAAAUAAACCAAUUAAUUAACAUUUUCGACAAUGGAUAUAAACGAAUAUGAGUUAUUAAGCUGAAAUGAUUUAACUUAACGAAUCUGUUUUCAUAACCCAUUCUUUGUGACAUCUCCGGAUUCGGCCAUAAAGUCUAGGUCGGGUUUGAGGUGUUACAAUAAAUUACACUAAACUUAAGGGAGGCAAGUGCCUAAAGUAAAGUGUUUGGACUUUUCUAUCAACCCGAAUUAAAAUCCAAAUGCUUAAGCUUUCAAUUAAUUCAUCUUAUUCAUUAUUCUUGAGCUCACAAUUGUUUAGAGAGUAGACUCUAACUCAAAUAAUCGAAAACAAAACAAAAAUAGAGACUCCCUUGAGAAGAGCUUUGCGCAAACCUCCAACUCGUAACCAAAAUUUAAACUUAUAAAUUCAAAUUAUAAUUAUUAAAUGAUUGCAAUUAUAAUUGCUCUCAAUUUAAAAUCUCAACUCAAGAAAAAUAUUUUUUUAGUACACUAAAAUUAUUCAAAUAAAAUACCAAAAAAAAUUUGCUGCAGAGUUUCUCUUAAUAAUUUGUAUUAUAUCAAUUAGGGUAUUUAUAAAGGAAAAUAUACAAAAAUUUAAUUUUAAUUCAAAGCUCCAAAUUAAUUAAAUCGGGGGAGUUUUAUACAUGUAAGACUCAAGAUAACCAAAGUCAAUGACACACUAAUGGAGGGCACUCCCUAUGCCACGACAUCAAUGCCCCUUUGUGCCAAUUGGGUCAAUCUAAAUGGGUCCAAUUUUUUAAGCUUGAAUGAAAAAAUUAAGCUGAAAUAUUUAAUUAUUUAAUUAAAAUUUAUGGACAAAUUUAUUUAAUUAUCCGAGUAAAUUUAGAUUACGAUGAUUAUGUAAUUUAAUUUUUCACUUUGAACUCAAUUAUUUAAUUUAUUCAUUCAAUUAAAUAAAAAUUUAUAGAAAAUCAAUUAAUCUUAAGUCAUCUUUUGCCUCUUUGAAAAAGUACAUUUUCUGUGUAUAGUAAUUCAUGCAAUCUAUUUUUCAUCAUUUUUCCCAUUCAUUCACAAUUUUUAUAAUGCAAAUCAUUUAUCUUACAUUAGGUUGGAGUAUUAUUUUCUAGGCAUGUUUUAUUAUAUGAGUUAGCAAUAAACUAACUCAGUUGGUAAUAUUUAGUCACUUCCAUGUCUUAUAUUUUUAGUAAAGAAACUGAAAAAUUUUCGCUUAUUUUGAAUAGGCAUUAUUUUUUACAUGAGUUUUUGUUGGGGAUCAGCUUGUUUAGGCAACGAAUAAGAACAAUAGAGAAGAAUGAAUACAAAUACUUUACAUAGAAAACUCCUCCGAAGAGGAUAAAAAAUAUGGGCAAAGGAGGCUUCGACUUUUCACCAAAUGAGUAAACAAACGAGAGUAAUAAACCUAAAUGUACUAAACAUAUAAACCCAAAACCCAAAUACAAAUUCGUAACUCAAAAACAAAAUUAUCUCCUUAAUUACUACGAAAACUCUCACCAAAACUCAUCUGUGAUUACAUCUUGUAGCCCUCAAAAGAAAAACCCUGUAAUAUGACAUCUUUAAUUGCCUUCUUAAUUGGCCUUUUAAAACAUGAAUACAAUGGCCCCUUUAAAAUCAUACAAUGGCCUUCUUAAUUGUAUUUGAUAGCUUUGAACAAAUGCUUUGCCAAUUAGAUAAUUAGUCAAUCUAUUGACUUCUAAUAUUUGUGACUACUGCAGGAUUAUUUGUGUAGUGUGGGCAUGUGAUCUAGCCUAGAUAUACAUUGAUUGUGUGUCUUUCGUUCUUAAUGCUAUUGAUAGAUUAAAUUCUUAAGUGAUUGUUAUAGGGUUGUUUAUCAAUAAGGGAAGUAAUUAAUGACAAUUGUCUUAAUUAUCAAUAAGAUAAGAAGAGAUUAGGUUGCUAGACAAUCAUCGGCAACUAUAACCAAUUUAUUAAAGAACAUUGAAAAUCAUCUUUGCAUCAAUGAUCGAACUCUUAAAUCAAAUGAAUAAUUUACUUUAACUAGAGUUUCAUCUCAUUGAUUUUUCCCAAAAUUUUAUUUGUUUUAGUUGAAGGAAUAAAAUUUCUACUAAUCCCUGUGAAUCCGACCCUACUUAUCGCUUCUACUAAAUUUUUUCAAGUAUAUUUUAAUUUUGGCAACUUUGACAACCGUACACUCCGUAUAUUUUAAUUUUGGAAACUUUGACAACAGUACACUCCGCAAUGAAAAUGAUCAUUACUCAUACUAGUAAUGAUAAAAUAAUUUGACCCAAACAAAUGACUCAUACAAUGUCAAUGAGAAUAUAUGAUUUACUAUUUUUAUGGAGCUAUUAUUCAACAAUUGUGAGUGAAGCAUUAUCAUGUAUAAGUCAUAUACCCAACAUAAUAACAUUUAACCCACUACCUUAAGAUCAUAGGAUAAAUUCAACUUGGUUAAUAUCUAAUGUAUUGUCAAUUCAAACAAUCGCAUAUAUAUCUUUAUUUUUGGAGGUUGUUUCGAUAGCUAGGACAAGCUAUCUCUCUAAUUGAACUUAUAGACAACAUAAUAUUGCUUAUAUUAGUCGUUUGUUUAAUUUGACCCCAUGGUAUAUGAAUAAUUUAGAUUAACUACUAACAUAAAUUGUUUUAUUUUGUUACAAUUUAAUCAUGUAAUGCAACUUAAUUUUAAUUAAAUCUUAAGUAAUCAAUGAGUCAAUAUUUACUUUUACAAUUUGCUUUACUUACAAAAAAAAAAAAACCCAUUUAAGCCAUUAUACAAAUAAUAUUAAAUGAAUAUGUGGUCAUUUUUAUAUAUUCAAUUACUUUAAAAUUUUACAACGAAACGAAAUCAUUUCGAUGAAGGCACCAAUCCCCUUUCCUCAUUUUCAAAGAGUGUGUUCGAUGUUCACCUUGAUAAUACCAAUUAACGUGUUGGAUGUUAGAACGAGGUAAGUCUAUGAACUCGAGUUUUAGCGGUUUGAUUUUUUAUUGUUUGUUGUUAAUAUAAGAGGACGUGUGUUCAAGUGUAUUAAAGCGUAUUAUCCUUAUAUUUAUGAAUUGAAAGAGGUUACGAGUAAUUCUAAAAAUUGUAUAAAAAAAUUACAAAAAGAUUUUUAUUUUAAUAUUACAAUUGUUCCCAACCAAAGAAAAUAAUUGCAGAUUAAUGUCAGUUAUUAUAGAUUAUAUCAACAAGUAUUAGAUGCAAUGUUAAAGUAUAUUGUAUUCUUUAAGAGAGAUACGAGUUUGAACUUUGAAGAUGAUAUUCUUAAAAAGAACAACUAUGAAUCUCGAACAUAAAUAUAAAAAUAGACAUGAAAAUACAAAAAUAAAAAUUAAAUUAUCUUUUACAUAAAAUAAAUAUUUGAUUUAUUUUUGGAUUUGUAUUAGUUAUAUCCCACUUUCGAUUUAUCACUCUAUUAAAAUGAUGAGUCAUAUAGUUUAAAUUAUAUUUUAAUCACCAAAUUUAAAAAAUUUAUAAUACGAUCACUACCAUUUUUUUUCAUAAAAUUUUUUUAAGUUAUUUUGGAUUUUGGGUUGUUGACACCAUUUUUUGAUUGAAAACGGGGUCGACUUGGGUUUUGAAAAAUGAAACAAAAACGGGAGUCGCCACCAAUCCUUUUUUUGAUAAGGUGUGAUCGGAUCACCUUGAAAAGUGGUUGUUUUUAAUAAACGAUUUAAUUUUACUAAAACAACGAUUUUGGUCCACGAAAUUCAGAGAAAUGAGUUCGGGAGUCGGUUACGCACGAGGAAGGAUUAGCACCCUCGAUACGCCCAAAAUUGGUACCUAGUUGAUUACUUAAUGUCUUAGUGUCGAAAAAUUGAAAACUUUAAUGAAUUUAAAAAUACGAUCCUAAAAACAACUCGGAUGAUAUGGAUUGAAAUUCAAGAGGAUAUUUUUCUAUUUGGUUAAAUGAGAAAAAUCGACACCCAGCACCUUAGGGCACGUUUUCUCGAAUUUCCCAAAUGCAAAACAUUGCCUUAUUUCGAAUUUUUUUAAAAGGAUAUUUAGCCAUUUGGUUGAACGAGAAAAAUCGACACCCAACACCUUAGGGCAUGUUUCCUCGAAUUUUCAAACGCAAAACAUUGCCUUAUUUUAAAAUUUUGAAAGGAUAUUUAGCUAUUUUGUUGAACGAGAAAAAUCGACACCCAGCACCUUAGGGCACGUUUUCUCGAAUUUCCAAACGCUAAAUAUUGCCUCAAUUAGAAAUAUUUUCUCUUUUUUUUUUUUGAAAUAUGAUAUUUAUAUGCAUGAUGGAAUAAUAAACAUGAUAAUGGGAAUAAUAAAAAAGGGAACAAAAAUGAAUGAUAAAAUAAAUCAAUCAUGCAUAUACCAUAGCAAAUAAAUAAAUAAAUUAAAGCACAAUAAUGGGCAUAUAAAUAAAUACAUAAAUGAACACAAAAAUAAAGUAAGAUAUAUGAAAAUUAUAAAAUAUGAAAAUAUGUAUGUACAUACAAGGGAAAUAUAUAUGUAUAUAUAUAUAAAAUUAUGAAAAUAUGAAAAACAUAUAUAUAUAUAUUAAAUUUAUAAAGUUUAUGUAAGCGUGUAUAUACAUGUGUAUGUAUAUAAAGUUUAUAAAACAUGUAAGUAUGUGAAUAUAUUCGUAAAAUGUAUAUAAAUACAUAUAUAUAGAUAUGUAUGUAAAUUAAAAAUAUAUAGAAUAUAUAAGUAUGUACGUAUACAUAUAUAUAAACAAGUUAUAAAAAAAAUAUGUACAUGUAUAGGUGUAUAUGUAUGUAUAUAUAGAAUAAAAAUGAAGCUAAAAAUAAUAUAUUACUAAUUAAUAUAGUAGUAACAAAUAAAUAAAAGGAAAAUAAAAUUAAUAAUAGUUAAUAAUAGUAAUAAUAAUGAUAAUAACACUAAUAAUAAUAAUAAUAAUAAUAAACUAAAUAAUGAAAUUGCUAAAUCAUGGACUAAAUCGAAGUAAAAACAAAAAUACUGGGCGAAUUUUAACAUGGAAAAUAAAAAGGGGACUGAUUUAUAACGCGUGCGAAGCCCAGGGGAUCGAUUUGGAAAAUAUCCCAGGCCCUACACGCAGCGUUUUGACACGGGCUGAAAUGAAACAGAAAUAAAAUUAUGUAGCUGAAUUAAAGAAGCAAAAAAGGGACAUAUUGCAUUAAAGCGCAAAAGCGGAAGGACCUUACGCGAUAAUAUCCCAUUAAUAUGGAAAUACGCGGAUCCUGGGUUGCGGGUCGGGUCGGCGCGCGGGUAGGAGGCCAUAAGGCAAAACGGCGCCGUUUCAAAAAAUGGUUAUUUAAAUAAAAAAAGUUCUUUAUUUUUUAUUUUUAUUUUUUUGUUUUAACUCAAAAGAGAAAAAUGAAAUCCCCCUUUUCUCUGUCUCCUUCGGGCGUUCCCCAGAAUCCGGCGAGAAACCGCCGCCAGUUCCACCGCGGGCGGUGGCCGGGGUACCCAAAAGUUGGGUUUUUAGAACCCCGAUCUCGAUCCCCUCUAAAAUAUACCCUUUUAGUCCCGAAAAGUCGAAAAAGGAGGGGUUUUUCGUACCCCCUUUUAGUCCGAUUCCAACGCCGAAGGUGGUCUCCGGCGACGGGCUUUCGAGACCGGUAGGUAUCCCCUUCUUUUCUUUUUCGUUUUGUUUUUAGUUUUUAAAAGUAUUAAAAAAAAGGGCAAACAACAAAAAAUAGAAGAAUAUAAAAAAAUUAAAAACUGAGAAAGAAGAAGAACAUUGGAGUCAACCUUUUCAAUUUUUCUUUUUUGAUCUGCUUUUCAUUCGGGUUCCUUUUUUUUAAUACAGAUUUUGGUGCUUUUAUAGCCAAAAGAUAAUCCUAAAAAUCUAUUCUAUUUCCUAUUUUAUUUUUAUCAUUUCUGUCCAAUAUCGCUGCUGUUGCUGUUGUUGUUCUCCUUUUUUGCUUUGUUUGCAGGUACUGGUGAAGUCAACGGAGGCGAAGGUUUCGGCUUUUUGCCAUUUUGGUGCAAGGUGGCCAGGUAGGCCUUGGGACGAGGCGUGGGCGUUGCGCCCGAGGAGGAGCGGCGUGGAGGCUGGGACUAGGGUUUGAUUUUUGCUGAAAUUGUUUUAAGUUUGGGCCAUGGUUGGAUUUGUAAUUGGGCUUAGGGAUUUUGUUUUAAAUUUGUUUAUGUUUUGUGUUCUGUGUUUGGUAUCUAAGGCCCGGGUAAAAUUGGGCCCGUACAUGGGUUUAUAUUAUUUUUCAAAGUUAAAUUAUAUGGAUUUAAAACUUAAUGAAAAUCAUGGGUAAACUAUAGAUUUAGUCAAUUAUAUAUAGUUUAAAUUACGUUUGAAUUACUAAGUUGUGAAUCAUUGUUAACGAACUACAAGUUGAUGUAGUAUAUUAUACCAUUACUUUAAACAAGAAAUGUUAGGUCAAAUUACACGGUUAAUAUUUAUACCUUUUUUAUUUUCAUUCUGGUAAAAAGAAAUUAAAUUACUCAAAAAGAUAAAUAUAAUAUUAGUUGUGAAAUUUAAUUUAAAAUUUUCAAAUGAUGAUAUAACAUGAUAUGUUAACUUUCUAUUACUCUAUUAAUUAGAGAUGGCAGUAGGUCGGAUAUUUGUAAAUUCUAGAUUAUCCAAAUCCACAUAUUUGUCUUAAAAUCCAAAUUCAAAAAAAAUCCAACUUUUAUUAUCCAAAUCUGAACCCAAUUAAAUAGCAAUAUUGGUCAGUAAAAUUUCUGAAUUUAACAUUUUCAACCUUACGUGGAUUUCCAAAUCCUCAAAAAAAUUCAAACCCAAAAAAAUUAAAAUUUAAAAAUUAAUAUAAAAUCAAAUAAAAAACUAAUUUAUUUUACAUUUUUUCAUUUUAAAAUUAAUAUCCGAAUCCGAUAGUCGAAGGUUGACGAUGCCUGACCGGUGCUAGACAAUAGUUGGGAAAGCUUGAGAGUCGAGGGUUGGGGGAUAGCCUGACAUGGCUAUGGUAGUUGUAGCCAUUGUUGGUGGCAUUUCUACUUUACUCCUAGUUCUGGGUCUGGUUUGGUUAUUCUGUAGGAGAGAAAAGUACAGUAGGAUGAGGGAAGAUAAAGCCAUGUCUGUCAACAGAAAAAUGGAAAUGGUGACAGCAGCUAGGAAGUUUUCCUACAGGGAACUCAGGUUUGCAACUAGUAAUUUUGCCGAUGAAGGGCUCCUUGGAGAGGGAGGUCUUGGGAAGGUUUAUUUAGGCUUCUUGAGUAACAUCAACUGUAGUAUUGCUGUCAAAAGGAAAACUCCAAAUUCUCACCAAGUGAUUAAAUGCUAAAGUUACAUAUUUUAUGUAAUUAAAUUGGUUAAUUUAUGAGAAUGCACCACUAAUUUUGCCAUAUUUAUUGAAUUUUGUGCAGGAAUGCAAUUUGGGGCUAAAUAGAAGAAAAAGGAAACAAUUGGGCCAAAUUAAAGAAAGAAGCAAAGAAGGAGGGCCAAAGUAGAAUUUUUCCAAUAUUAAUUAGCUGAAAAUUUUGUUGACUUAGUGGGGGAGAUUAUUUUGGGAUUUAUUUUAUUAUGGGAUAUUUUUCCUUAAUUUCCUAUGACUAGUUGGCUCCUAAUUUAGUAAAUCCUCUAGUAUAAAUAGAGCAUGUAUUGUUCAUUUAUGAAUGAAUCAAAAAUAUUAAGUUCUUGUCUUUCAAUACAUUCUGUCUUUUUUCACGUAGUAUUGUUGUUUCUUUAGUUUCCUUUCCUUCAAUUUUUAAUUUCCAGUAGCUAAUCACCAAAUCAAGCCAUUUGCAAUUCCUUUUUCAAUUUUUUUUUCCAAAUAGUCAACCACCCCAGUUUAAUAUAUUCCAACCCCCAUACUCAAUCACAUCACCCAUCUUUUCACCAUUCCUACCUUAUUUAAUUUAUCAAAUACCAACAUGCCCCAAACCUUAGCCAACUAAACCCAUUUUCAGCUUUUGGCCGAAAUUAGCCUCGUCAAAACCCGUGAGUUACGAACCCGAGCCAUUUAACUCCUAAAAUUCCAGUACUUAUUACUUCUCCGGAUUAAGAGUAUGAUUUUGUCAACUCAUAAAGUCAGAUCAACACUAAGUCAAAAAAGACGUCGUUUGGUUUAGUGUGGUUAAACGUACAUUUGGAAUUCCGAAAGGAACGUUUCUAAUCGGUUUUCUGUGAACACAUUGGUGUGCCAAGUGGAGAUUGCUGUUUGGUUCCGUCAAGGGAAGUAGUAACCGGAUUUAAAUGUCCCACGCGGUUGAGGGCAUUGGUUCGAGCUAGGCUCUUCUAGAACGCAAAGCUGCUGGAGUUCUAAAUCACGAACAUUUCGUGGUUGUUCGAUCGGUAAGAAUUAGUUAUUGGACGUUCCAUAACUAAUUUACACAAGGAAGAGUUGGUGUUCGAGGCAUCCUUGGUAGCUAUAACUAGCUUAUUGGAAAAGAGGAGUUCAUCCAAUUUCGAGAAUCGGUUCAAAGACGAGGAAAAUUCAUGUCUAAAGCUGAGCUCAUUCUAAUUAAUUUCCUUAAUAUUUAUUUCACGGUUUUUAUUAUUCUGUUUUCAACUUUUACUUUUGACGUUAUUUUUCUGUUAAUUUUAGGUUUUCAAAUUUUUAUCCCCCCAAAUGUCUUGGGCACGACAGCUACCCCGACAUAAAUCUGGUCAAGCGAGCAACAGUUUACAGUAAACCAGUCUCUGAGGGAUCGACCCUAUUCCCUGUACUGCAUAAUUUGCAAACUAAGGUGUAGGUUUAUAUUGGCGGAUUCGACACCCAUCACCAAGGAGUGAAAGAGUAGAAUCAGAAGUUACAACUAGUGGCAGAUUGAGGCAUAGGAAUUUGGUCCAACUCAUCGGUUGGUGCCAUGAGAAUAAGGAGUUCCUUCCAAAUAAGAGUCUCGAUUACCAUCUACAUAGAGAGCCAUGCUUGUUGACACGGGAUACAUGGUAUAAAAUCGCCAGCCAUGCUUGUUGACACGGGAUACAAGGUAUAAAAUCGCCAUGGGAGUGGCCUCAGCGUUGUUCUAUUUGCAAGAAGAAUGUGACCAAUGCGUGCUGCAUCGAGACAUCAAGUCAAGCAAUGUUCUGUUGGAUUUGAGUUUCAAUGCCAAGCUUAGUGACCUUGGGUUGGCUAGGGUUGUUGACCAUGGACAAGGGUCUCAAACAACUAAGGUUAUGCUCGGAACCGGCGGUUAUAUAGCACCCGAGUGUCUUGACACAUACAAAGCCAUUAAAGAAUCCAACGUAUAUAACUUUGGUAUUGUUGCCUUAGAAAUAGCCUCCGAAAAGAAGGCCAUUGCUUUAAUCGAAAGGAACGGCCAGAGAUUCAAAACAAAACUGGUGGAAUGGGUUUGGGAACUAUAUGGGAAAGAGAGUCUUUUUGAUGCGGCUGACCCAAGAUUGUCUGGCAAUUACGACAUGGAACAAAUGGAACGGCUGCUGUUAGUUGGGCUGGCUUGUGCUCACCCAAACUAUUUUGACCGCCCAUCGAUAACGCAGGCAGUCGACAUCCUUUCUUUCAAAGCAGCACUGUCCAUGGAAGCCAAGCAGUGAGUUCUUGGUAGUUAACUUCUUUGUCAAUUUAUUGUUUUCCAGUUUUGAUGCUUUGUUACAUUACAUCCAUGGUUUCUACACUUUGUGUAUUGUUGUUUUCAUUGGCUAUGAAGAUCACUAUUUGUCUUGUACUUCUUAGAUUAAAAUAGUCACUUUUGUUUGUCUCAGAUUAUAUUUUAGUCACUUAUGUUUAAAAUAUUACGUUUUAGUCAUUUAUGUUAACAUGUUGUAACAUUUUAGUCACUGAGCGUUAAUUAUUAUUAAUGGGUAACGGUAAGCUGAUGUGGCAUAUUCAAUCAUCAUUUCAAAUGAAAAUCUUAGGUUAAAUUAUACAAUUGGUGCCUAUAUUUUUUUCGUUUUGAGUACUUUUUUUCUUUUACCGUUACACCGUUAACGGCAAUUAAUAGCUCAGUGACUAAAAUGUUACAACACGUUAACGUAAGUGGCUAAAACAUAACAUUUCAAACAUAAGAGACUAAAAUAUAACUUGAAGAAAAUAAAAGUGACCAUUUUGAUAAUUUGCCCAUUGUUAUGAUUUUCAAAGUGUAAUAAUUGCUUAAUUAUAUCAUCAUAGCCAUAGCUGUAAACUAUCUUCCCUCUUAAUUUAAUUAUUUUUAUUAUUUUUAAAUGUAAUUAUUUAUGGGAGAGUCUCUACUAGACCUGUCCAUUGGCUGGGCCGGGUUCGGGCUGGGCCCGGAAAAAAUUUUCGACCCGCCUCCUAGGCCCGAACCAGGCCCGGCCCAAAAUAUGGGCCUGAAAUUUUGUCCAAGCUCGACUCGGGAAAAAUAUCAUAAGCCCGAGCCCGGCCCGGCCCAUUUUUUAGUAAACAUUAAAAAAUUAUUUUAAAAAUAAAAAAAAUAAAAAUAUUUUAAAAGUAUUUUAAAAUUAAAAAAUAAAAAUAAAAAAUAUAUAUUUAUUAUAUUCGGGCCGGGCCAAAAAAGUGGUGCCCGAGGCCCGGCCCGUUUUUUAAACGGGCCUCGUUUUUUUGCCCAAGCCCAUAUUUCGGGCCUAUAUUUUUACCUGAACCCUCCCAUAUUUCGGGCGGGCUGUUGGGCCGGGCCGCCCAGCCCAUAGACAGGUCUAGUCUCUACUCAGUUCUUCUAAUUUCAAGUUAUUAAAGAAUGGACCAACCAAGUCCCUAUACUUUUAAAAUAAUUAAGGGUGUUAACAAAAAUCAUUCAAAAUAGUGAUAACAUUGAUGAAGAUGACUAAAAUAAAUAUGAUAAUUAAUAAUAAAAUUGUACAGGUAGUGAAUAUUGAUUUGUUAUAAAAUCUGACAUGUGGCUUUUAAAAGAGAUAUUUUGAUUUAAUUAGUUAAUUAACUAAAAAAAAGGGAAAAUUUUAGAGAAAAAAGUCAACUAAAAUGUUUCUUUAUUUAAUUCAAAUGGAAUCAAUUUGUCGGCAUGAUGUUUAGGAUGUCCGCCACUUCAAGUGUGGUCUAAGUUUAAAUUGUGCUAGUCGCGCUGCUGUUUAGGGUUUUGUCCUCUUCUUAUAAUUUACCCAAAAGAAAAAACUUUUACUCAAUAAUUAUAUAUUUUUCACUUUAUUUUGUUUAAUUUUAUUAAAUAGAGCCAAUCAUAUUUUAUUUAUUUUCUAAAGUAAUUAGUAAAUUAAAGUAAAAAAAACACACAAUUUUAGUUUUUU